RNAcentral lists this long non-coding RNA (51701 nucleotides) under Populus tremula. RNAcentral's name for it is "long non-coding RNA (PTRE_LNC000332)". Lineage: Eukaryota; Viridiplantae; Streptophyta; Magnoliopsida; Malpighiales; Salicaceae. The record is from RNAcentral.
AACAAUAAAGAUAAUCAAUGAUAAUGAUAAUUGAAGUGGGUCAUAUAUAAUAGGCGGAAAACAUGGUGAAAUCUAGGGUUAAGAUUAAAAAAGAUGAUGGAAGGGAAGAUGAAGGUGAAGAUGAAGAACAACAAUCAGAUUAGCGAGAAGAACAGGCAUCAAAAUUCUGGAUGGAGAAGUUCCAGUUUUCCAGACUGCAACAGCAGAAAUGAUAAGACCACCUGCUAAGAAGGCCAGUAAUCUGUCCUCAAUGCUGUGUGGAGGUGGCUGUUCAGAACAGUAUUUACCGCAUAGGGUUGCAAUGCAAUUCGGAACCGACGAAGAUCUUUCAGGGUUGUGUUGGUCAGUGCUCUAAUUAACAGACCUGAGAUUGCAGAGAGCUUAAAGCUUUUGUUGAAGAGCUUGAGCAGAUGAUCACACGAAUAAAAGCAGCAAGAUUAAAACAAAAAUUGUUAACCUAGCUAGCCUUCUUCGUGAGAAAGAUUUGCUUGAUUUUAUUUUAAUUGAAUUCAUGGCUUCUCUUCUCCUGUUGGCAUUGCAGCAGGUUCCUAUAUGGAUAACUCCCGCCAUUGACAACAGAUGCAGAACAAGGUUAAAAGGAUAAUAGAAAUAAAACUUGAAUUAACUUAAUAGGUUAACUAGUGACUCAAAUGACUUCAAACUUGAAUUAAUCUUGUAUUAAUUAAUCUAGGUUAAGAAAAAAUAAAAAUAACUUGACAUCAUAUUUAGUACAUGUUUGGUAUUGUGAUAUAAAAUGUUUUUUUUUGUAAAUGUCUUUUGUUUACAAAUACAUCAAAAUAAUUUUUUAAAAGAUUUUUUUAUUUUUAUAAUAGUACAUCAAAAUUAUCAGAAAAACACUAAAAAUAUAUCAAUUUGAUGUUUUUAAAUAUAAACACAUAUUUAAAAAAUACCUAAAAACAAAAACUACCGCAUUUCCAUCCGAGCUAUUUAAAAAGCAAAGAGGGAACUUUUGAGAUGAAUAAAAUCAAGAAUUGCAAUUGCUAAAUUUUUUAAUGUGUUUUUGACGUGGAACACAUAAUAAAAGUAUUAUCUAAAAAUAAAUCAAGUGUAUCAAAUGACAUUUAUAACAAAAUCAGACCAUGACUUUUAAUUCAAUAAUUAAAUUUUAAUAAAAAAAACUUCUAUAACAUUUUAAAGGACUUAUUCUUUAUAGAAACAUCGACAAAACAUCAUUAAUGUUUGAUGUAUAGAGGUAUCAACUAUAACUUGAUGUCUUAUGAUGUAGAAAUAAAUAUCUUCUAGGGCACUAUAAAAGUUUUAAAGGUAGCAUAAAGAACCAUAAUAUAGAUAUUUGAUUAGCAAGAGAAUUCCAUAGCAAACUUAAUUGAGGGGAUGGAUCAACUACUAGGAGGAGGCAAAUAAAAAACUUGGAGAAGAGAGAGACGUGUUUAAAAACUUACCUCAAGGUGAACCAAACCCUAGAUCUAUUUCUACAAACUCAUAAAGACAUCAUGUCUAUUUAGAAAGUGAUUUGUACGAUGAACUAAAAACUUUGUCUAUAGCUAAACUUUCAUAGACACUUUUCUAAUUUUGAUGAAAUUCCUUUUGUUGAUAAGAAUUUUUCAAAAAAAAAAAAAAAAGGUUUUUUAGAUUAUUGUCAAAGUUAAAAGCUUACUUUUAUUUGAACAAGAUUUUUUAUUAUCAAAAUAAGGAUUUUCCAUACAUAAAUUUACUUAUUAAGUUGAAGGUUGGUGGUUCAAUCUUGUGGUUGAUGGAGCUUGUAUUGAUAAAUUUGUAAUUUCAUCAUAAAAAACUAUAAAAUAUAUUAAUUUUAGAGUUUGUACAAGAUGAAUAAAAAAAUAUUUUAUUUUGGUCAUAUAAUCACAAUCAAGUUAUUAUUACUUACCUUAUGUUCAACUUUCAACAAUAACACAAAAACAAAACAUGGAGGAGAACUAGCUUAAGGCUAAAAUUAUUUGAGUCAAUAAUAAGAAAUAGUUGAAAAACAAUUCAAUUUCUAUCUUGAACAUACUUAUUGUUCUUACUUUAUUGAUCAAUGUUGUUGGUAAUAGUGAAUUAAUUAUUUUAGCUAUAGUUUAUUUUUAAAGAAGUAGAAUAACCAAAAUUAUCACCAUCCUUGAGGAACAACAUGAAAGCAUAAAUAUAUUGAAAAACCAAAGUAACAUGAAGUAGAGGUAACAUUUCAAAGAACAAUAUGAAGAUAAAGAAUAUGUUGAAAUUAAACCAAUGAAUGAAAAGGUAGAAAAGUUACUAAUUUACUCAGGAAAUUAGAGUUAAAAUUAAAAAAAAAGAAAGAUAGAAAAAUAUUAUCUUCCUCCUGAAAUCACAAGAAAGUUUUGUCUAAAGGAUAAAAAGAAAGAGACUCAAAAAAUUUACUUUGUUAGCAUUUUAGUAAAUGAGGUUCAAUUUAUGAACAUGUUAAUUAUAAUGCUAAGUAUUUUAUGUUUUUUUUGGAAUGAAAGAUUUCAAUUUCUAAUUAUGAAACUAACAAACGAGUUCUUCUCAAGUAAAGAAGCUUGACACGAGAUGUGCAACAAAAGUCUUAACUUAAGAAGAAGUUUGGAUGUGUUAAAUGAUAUUUUUGACAAAAAAAAAUAGUUAUAAUUUUUUAUUCAAUUGUUGAAUCAAAUUAAAAUUUUAGAGAAUGUUCUAAGGCCUUGUUUCAUAAUAGGAAUAUCAAAGCAACAUCAUCCAAGUUUAGGAACAUGCCCACAUUAGAUAAAAAAAAAUAAAAAAAUGACAGGAGAUUUUUUUUAUUUUCCUAGUUGUUUUAGGAUUUUUUUUUUUAUGUAAAGUUUUAGAAUAUUAUUUGAUUCAUAUUUCUAUACCUAAGUUGGUGUUAUCUCUUGUUUAAACAUGUUAAAUAAUCCAAAUAUAUAAAGAAAAAUACAAAAAUAAGAGAGGAAAAGACUAAUAUUUCAUUGAUAUUUUAUAAUCACUAUAAUUUAAAGGAAUAAGUUUGAUUUAAAUACAAAAAAAUUAUAUAUAAACUAAAUUAAACUGAAAAGAAAAUAUUAUUUUACUUUCAAUAAAUAAAACAAAAUAACUUAUAUUUCUUAACAAAACAGUGGAAUUUUUCAUUAAAGAGGAUAUUGAUUAUUAAAAAAUUUAUUUAGAACUUUUAAGUUUUAGAGUUUUCUUUAUAAUUCAGAGAUAUAAUUUUAGGACUUGAAAAAAUUUAGUUUCUUUUUUAUAAAUAGUUUAUGGAUGUAAUUUUUAAUACUUGAGAAACAUUCUUCUCGAGAAGAAAAAAAGGAGAUAAAAAGUUAAGGGAUUGGACUGAUUGUGUUCUGGUGCUGAAGUCUAGAGUUUGGAGGUUCUGGGGAAAGGGUUUUGCUAAGGUUCAAGAGGAAAUGGGCAAAGCAAGGACAAAAGUGAGCAGAGUGCAUGCAGCUGGGAAUCGUGAAAAGGCACAACUUUCCUGGCACACCGGAAAAUCAAUAAUAAAUUAAUACAGGUUAGCUGCUAUCAAUUUGCGAAAUGCUCUUAGUAAUUUGAAACCUUUUUAUUGCAAAAUCGUCCUUGGCCCACAGGAAAUGUAUUUCAGUUUAGUGGUUUCUUGGUGAUUGAAGUGGUAACAAGAAGAAGCAACCGCCGACAACAAGAACACUGCUGCUGCCCUCCACUUUCCUUUUUCCCGCGAAUCCCUUUCGCUGUAUGUAGUGAACUGUUCACAAAGCUUGGACAGGGAGGCACUUGAGAAGCAACAAUGCUACAUGCCUAAUAGCUACUAGGUAAAGGAUGCUCUUACAGACGCCAUUUGAAGAAAAAAAAAGUUAAAGUUUUUUUAAAAACAAUCUCGUAAUCUUUUCAAAAGUUUACCCCUAACUGUGUUUCUUAUUGUAUUUAAGAUAAGAUUUGAUUAAGAAAUCCAUUGAAUUUCAGGCUAAAAGGCUAGAGAAUAGGAGUAUCCUUUUCUCUCUAAUCCUUUAUCCUUUGUGUGAUUGGAAAUGGAUCUGUACUAAUUAGUACCUUGCUAGAACUGACUUCACAGUGUAAACAUCAAGCUCCCAUCUUUUCUGUUCUUUCCAAACAAGAUCAUGACCUUGUGAACCAAAAACAGCAAAAGAGUCUGCCUAAUAUUUCCAAUUUCACAAUUUAAUGGGUCCAGUGACCUCACAGGAUCCUUCUAGCCUUUUCCACGAAUAAAAUUCUAACAAGCCUAUGCGAUUGCUUGUUGUUUGUUAACUGAUCCUAUAUCCACUGAUAAUGGCUAAGCAAGCAAAGAUUUUCACUAUCAGUUUGCUUCAUUCACACAGAAACUCAGCUAAGAACUGACUGAAACAUGAACCAUUGCACAAUGCUGGUACACUUUACAUGUAUCAUUACAGACAUACCAGCUACAAAACAUACAAUUAUAUCUGCAAAGAGACAGGUUGGCUCCUAACAAUUUUUGCUACUUAGUUCGUGCAAAAAGUAACUAAAACAUAAGCCAAAAGAGCUGUAGAACUCUAUAUAUCUACCUCACUCAGCAUGUUAAUUCUAUUUGUAUUAACUACAUUGUGAUAUUGUUGGUCAGACAAACCUUCUUCUGGCUAAAUUUAGCAGCCUUUAGCCCAUCAAUUUCUUUCCUAAGCUUGUCGAUCCGAGCUUCAAGUUCUAAUCCAUCUGUGUGAAUAUCAAAACGACUCCUACUUCCUCUUUCAUCAUCUUUGAGAAAACCUGCACCAUGGAGUACUGGACUAGGGCUAUCUAAUUUGUUUUUGCUGGAGUUUUCCGUGGUUGUGCUUUCUUUUCCACUCCUAGGUUCCUUCUGAAUGCUGCUUUCCUUCAAUUUCAUCUCUGCAUCAACAUUUGUAACAUCAUUGUUUUCUGCAGCAGAAGAUAAUAGAUUAUGUGUAGUAGCCGGCAAAGACUUGCGAUCACCAUAUAUUAUAUGAUCAACACUUUUGAGCUUUUUAUGAGUAAACAACUCCUUCAAUGUUAGAUCAUCCUCCUCAUCAGAGUCCAAGCCUUCAACAUGUUGACAUUUAGGAGGGUAACCAGGAGGAUACAGAGGAUCAUGAUCUGACUUCUUCCCUUUGAAACAUGGAACCGAAAUUUCUGAACCUUUUGGAUUUCCACUUCCAUCUUUCCCACCAAACACUGAUUGCUUCCACCAUUCCAAGUAUCUCAUAGUAACAUCUGGCUUGCAAUGUCUUGAUGGAAUAUAUAGCAUUGCAUUUUUUAUUUGCUUAUCAAAACGCCUCCAGGAAAGUUCUUGAGUUUCAUUUCUUCUCUUUACAGGACCUGGAAGAUCUUGAUCCAUGCCAAACUGCAUUGCCACUCGAUGCGGGCUGUACUGUUCUACACACCCUAUUCCAACUAAUUGACAUGCUCUCAAGCAUCGAGUAAAGGAUUUCAAUUCGUCAUCAGCAUCAACAUCAACAAGCACCCAUUUCUCUUCAUCACCAUAAAUUUUGUAGCACAAACUCUCCACGGCUGUGGCAUAAGGGCGCCACUGGAAACUUCCUUCAGAAUCUAGGGCCAAUCUUACAUUCCUAACGGUUGAACUAUUCACAUUAUGCCAUCUAGCUAAUCUCGGCACUUCCAAGUCAGUCACAUUAGGCUUUGGUUGCAAUUUUGGAAACCUCUCCCAGGCCCAAACCUGAACUAUAUGAAAUGGUGACCAAAUGGUGAGUUCUAACUUUUGAUCAUCAUUGUCAUCCUCAAAAGAAACUAAAUUGGACAAAGCUAGAAUCUUUUUCUUCAACAACCUCAAGUCUCGGUAAAUGCUUGCAAGAAGGGCAGGUCCAAGUGCAAUUUUGAUACCUCUAGCUAGACAAACAGCAAUUGGAAAAACAUGUUUGGGAAUGCUCAUAUUUGGGACACUGGGAAAAACAAACCUCGACAACCAUAGUGACAGAAAAGCCUCGUGCUCGACUUCGCUGUUGUUUUCCAUGAGAUAUUUAAUCCAGGAAGAAUGGUCAACUUUUUUGCUUUUUGACCGCCUCAACAGUUCUCGGAUUUCCAUUAGCUUUUGUUCAGCUUCAUGCAAUUCCUCUGUUUCAAGAGGGGUAAAAACAGGGGACCCCAAAACAGAGUACCCUGCAACCAAAAUAUCUUCCAAGGUGAUUGUUGCUUCACCCCAAGGAAAAAUGAAUGUGUUAGUUUCAAAACACCAUUUCUCUGCUAACCCAAUAAGGAAAUCAUCGUCUCUUCCGAUUUGGUAAAGAGAACUCAUGACUGCUUGAUAGAUUCCAACUUUUCUCCAUGUUGCUUCAUGCAAAGCAGCCAUUUUAUCAACCCAUUCUUUCCACCUCCUUUGUGCAUAUCUCCAACCAUGGAAUGUUAUUCUUAAAGGCCACUUUUUGGGUUCAAAGUUAGAGGGCAAGGAGAAGUUGUAGUGUGAAGGGUGUUUGGGAGUGUUUUCAUCUAUGGAAGAGGUUAUUGAGGGUUUGAUAAAAUGGGCUGUUCUAAGUGUUGGCUGUGCAUCGCCAGAGAGUGAAACCAUAAGUUCCUUUCUCGUUUCAACAAUGGGUCCUUCUGAUUUCUCCAUAGAAAAAAACGGUGAAGUUUCUUGCAGAGAAAGAGAAGGAGAGGUUCGGGCUUAGGGAGAGCCAAAGGUUGCUGACAUGAUUGUUUCGAACUAGCAAAGGAAGUUAAUGUGACGAUACAAUUUCAAGUAUUCAAAGCUUCCUCUAGAAUCUAUACCUUCACUACAUCUCUUCCAAAUAAUGUGUUAAAAAGAAUAAAAAUAAAGGCAGUAGAAAUGUCGAUAUAAAGUCAUGGCUCAUGAUUGCAUAAGGGAAUUAAUUUAAUUUUUGGAUGCGUAAGAAGUGGGGAGAGAACUUUAGAAAAUGGAUAAAAAGAGAUUCUGUUUAUUUUUUCUUUUUAAAAGUUUUUUUUAAAUAAUAUUUUUUAUUUUAAAUAAAAUUUUUAAAUAUUUUUACAUCGUUUCGAAGAAAAAAAGAGAAACAUUCAUUGGGAAGAAAAUAAAAGGAGCUAAAAAGUUUAGGGCUUGGACUCUGUGUUUCGGUGCGAAAGUCAAAGUUUGAGGUUUUUGUGGCAAGGGUUUGGACUGAAGAAAGCAAGGGUGGAAGCAGCUGGUAAUCGUGAAAAGGCAUAACUUUUCUGGCACACCGGAAAAUCAAUAAUAAAUUAAUACAGGUUAGCCCAUUUAUUUGACGUUUGAAGUAAUUUGAAACCUUUUUAUUGCAAAAUCGUCCUUCGCCCAUGGUGUGUACGCCGUUUUUAAAAUUGCAUUUGAGAGUGUUUUAAUUUGAAAAAGUGUUAUGUUAUUGUUUGGAGUUGAGUUUCAACUUGUUUUUAUUGAAGUUUGAAUUUUUUUUAUUUUAAAUUAAUUUUUUAAUAUUUUUUAAUUGUUUUCAAAUAUUGAUGUUAAAAAAAAUUUUAUUUUAAUAUAUUUUUAAAUAAAAAUUACUUAAAAAAACAACCACAAUCACAUUUUUAAAUACCUUCUAAGUGCCUGUUUGAGAAUGUUUCAAUCUGUGUUAUGAGAUUGUUUCAAUAUGUGUUAAAGUGUGUUUCAAAAAUAUAUUUGUCUUAAAAAAUAUUAAAAUUGAUAUUUUUUAAUUGAUAUUUUUUUAAUACUUUUCAAUAAUUUUGAUAUGUUGAUAUUAAAAAUAAAUAUAAAUCUAAAUUGAUAUUUUCAAUGUUUUCUGAUAAUUUUGAUAUAUUAAUAUAAAAAAUGAAAAAAUUAUUUUUAUUUAUUUCUAAAUAAAAAAAACUUUUGAAAAAUAAAUGCACCAUAAUAUCUUAUGUAUACUAAAUUGAUGUUUUUAAAAAUAUUUUUUAAUAAUUUUAAAAUACUGAUAUUAAAAAUAAAAAAAGUUAUUUUAUUAUAUUUGAAAAAAACUCCUAAAAAAUACAGGACAAAAACAUAAAAAUGGAUAGCAGCUUUGUUACAGAAAAUACUGCUCAUCCUUGCAGCACGUACAGUGUAGGAAACAACCAUUUUUCUGAUCCUUACACUGCAGAAGUAAAUAAAAACUUCAGACACUCUCUCCAUAGUUGUUGUCUUUAUUCCUUUUAACAUUUCAGUGUCUAUCAAUUUCUCGAUUCCUAGAACAAAACCUAGCUCUUUGCCUUUCCUUUGUGGAAAACGCCUUGAAGAGUUUCUGCAAUAAUUGGUUUCCUUCAUUCUCCCAGGAAACAAACAAACUUUGGGAUUCUUAUCAAUACAUAAUAGGUCCACUCACCAUUGUGAAAACCUCUUGAAACCCAUGAAUGGAAGAGGUGAAAGAAACCAUGCUCGAUGUUAGAGAAGAGCAAAUGGUGUCGUUCACUGGUGGCAGCAAACCAACUCUAAGAACAGCCCAUUUCCUCAAACCUACUGUGGCCACCAGUACAAGGUCAGUCCCCAAGCCCCCUACAUGUUCUCUAUCUUCUCUACCUUCAACUUUUGAGCCUAAAGAAUGGCCUCUGAAGAUAAACUUCAGUGGUUGGCAGAAGCCUAAACUGAACUGGGCAACAUGGGUUCAUAAGUUGAAAUUCAAGUAUCAGCCUUUAUGGAAGAAGGCUGGAAUUUAUGAAGCCAUCAUGCAUUCUACAUUCAUUGUUGUAAGAGACUAUGAUUUUAUCAUUGGACUUGCAGAGAAAUGGUGUCCUAAAACCAACACAUUUGUAUUUCCUUGGGGAGAAGCAACCAUCACCUUAGAGGACAUGAUCAUUUUGGGAGGGUACUCUGUUUUAGGCUCCCCCGUUUCUUCAUGCUCUGAUUAUGAAAGCAGAGAAUUGAAGGAAAUUGAAGAUAAACUAGCUGAAGCUGGGAGGAAUAUCAGCAGGGGUAAGGUUAUUAAGCCUUGCCAAUCUAAAUGGAUGGAGAAGUUCAUGGACAGCGGGAGUGAAAUCGAGCACGAAGCUUUUCUUUCACUUUGGCUGGCAAGGUAUGUUUUUCGAGAUUCUGAUAUUGUACUCAAGGGCCAUUUUUUUCCAAUAGCAAUUCAAAUGGCAAGAGGGGAACGUAUUGCACUUGCUCCAGCAGUUCUGGCUAGCAUUUAUAGAGACCUGAGUUUGUUGAAAGAAACAAUUGUUUUUACCACCAAGUUAGAGACUUUUGAGGAUGGUGUAUUGGCACUAACAAUUCGGUCACCGUUUCUGUUAGUCCAGAUUUGGGGUUGGGAGAGGUUUCCGAUGUUCCAACCGAAGCCCGUUUUCCUCAAGAAUGGUGAUCCCAGAUGUGCUUUAUGGGAUAGUGUGAAAGGUGUCAAAGUUGAGAAUGCAAGGCUGGCUUUGGAUUCAGCCGGGGAGGCUUUUCGAUGGCGGCCUUAUGCAAACCCAGGAGUAAGAGGUUGGCACUUCCCGGAGUUUUACAGAGAGAAAGGAGAAUGGCUAGACCUGGGAUCUAAUGAAGAUUUGUUGUCAUUUUCCCUAUGCUUGACAGUAUCCAAGAUGGAUGGUCUAGGCUGUUCAGAACUGUAUCUUCCUCAUCGUGCGGCAAUGCAAUUCGGAAUGGAUCAAGAUGUUCCUUCUCCUGUAGCUCGAUCAAAUGAAAGCUGCAAAUGUGCUUCGAAAAAUUACAUUAAGUCAUUUUCCAAUUCCAAAUUCUAUUUUCCACCUCGGUUAUUCGAGUCUGAUGUUACCAUUAGAUACUUGAACUGGUGGAGAGGGUCGGUGCAAGAGGUGACUAAGGAUGUGACUGAAGGUGUUGUGCGAAGGAAACGAAGUUUCCGAAAGAGAUCAAAUCGAGUUCCAUGGGUUUCAACAAAGAAUGAAGGCAAUGAUUUAGAUGUCCCCCCUGGUUUUCCUCCCAAAUCUGGCAGGAUGAAAGAAGGGGAUGUGGCUGAGAAUGAAAAAACAACUUUGGAGGAUAUAUUAAGAGACUGUAGCCUUCAUAACAGUUUAGACAGAAGGGAAGGUACAUCUGUUUAUACUUAUGGUCUCGCUCACAGUCCUUCAAUUGUAAAAACAGGCGGUGCAGGUUUUCGAAAGAUCGAGGCGCUAACACAACCAGAAGGAAAAACCACGCAGGUUAAAGCUGGAAAGGAUGGUUUGCAAAAAGCCUCAGAAGACGCAGAUGUGUUCAUAGCUGAGACUUCUGCUAACAUGGCGAGCACCAGCAAAGAUGCAGAAGAAAGCAACGGCUCUGUCUUUCAGAUCCCAGUAAAUGAACUUGAUGCUCGGGUUGCUAGGCUUGAGAUGGUAAUGGCCAAGAUAAAAGCAGCAAGAUCAUGUUUGUCAAAAACCCCACAGAAGAAUCUGCUCCCCUGAUGAACUAAGCAGUAUGAUUUCAUUUAAGUGCAUGUUUCCUUUGAUGCUUGCUAGGCUCGUAACAAUUGUAAUCCUUAAAUAGGUCUACAUUUCUGUGUAAAUUGCUUGCUUGAAUUACAAACCUUCUCUGGAUGUAUUACCCAGCCUCGAGUGUAAUCAGUGAAAAGUAAAAUCAUGGAAUAUUUUCAGUAUAAAGUGUAAACAGGAUGAUUUUAUGGAAACACAUGAUAGGCACGUUUCGGUAAGAUAGCUAGAUAUUAAAAAAUUAUUAAUUUAAUAUAUUUUCAAAAUAAAUAUUUAAUCUGGCCUUAUAUAUAUAUAUAUAUAUAUAUCAUGUUGUGAUUAGCAUGUGACUAUUUGUUUUUUAAUUAAGUAUUGUUAUGUGUUAGGGACUUGGUAUUGACAAAACAAGGGGCUAGAUAAAGAUAUAUAUCUUUUUAAAUUAACACGGUUUUUUAAAACACUUGAAAAAAAUAAUAUGUUUUGAAAAAUAAUUAGCAAAAAUAAUAUAAUUCGAUACAUGUCGUAAUUGAAAAUUGCCAUAUUUUAAAGUUAUCACUCAAAUAAAAUGUGACAUUUCAAACAAAUUGUUAAAUGGCUUCAUAAAUUACAAUAAAAAAAAAUGAAAGAGAAAAAUAAAGACUUUGAAACACAUCAAAAUUAUGAUUACAAUACCACCAGUAUUAUUAGAAAAAACUCAACAAAAAAAAUUCAAUGACACUAAGAAAAAUCACCAAUGAUGCAAGUGAGCAAUUAUAAUGAGAAAACAAGAUAAAUAAAAAUAAAGAAAGAAAAAAAGAAAAAGACAUGGAGGUACACCGAAACCAUGAUUAUGACACCGUUGGUACCAUUAAAAAGAUUUUGAUUACAAGAAUCUAACAAUACUGAAAAAGGUCACAAAUGGUGAUUAGAAUGGGUCGCACAUAGUGGGUGGCUUACUUGUCUUUGAACGGAAAAUGUGACUCACUUUGGUCAUCUUUGGUGACUCACUCCGGUUAUCUUUGGUAAUAUUUCUUGGUGUUUUUGAAUUCUUCUCAUCAAGAUUUUUUUGAUGGAUCUUGUGUUAUAAUUAAAGCUUUGAUAUGUCUUUAUGAUCAUUUUUUUUUUCUCUGCUCAUUGUAAUUUGUGCAAUUCAUUCAACAAUUUCUUUUUGAAAAUGCUGCAUUUCUGAUCAUAGAUGACUUUAAAUGUCACUUUUUUCGAUCAAGACAUAUAUCAACCAUGUUAUUUUUUAAUUUCUUUUUUCAAGUUGUGUUAUUUUACUAAUUUUUUUUAAAAAAUAUGUUGUGUUUUCCAAUUAUAACAUGUAUUAACUGUGAUAUUUUAUAUAAAAAAAUUCAAACUAUUUUAUUUUACUAUUUAAAAAAAUACUCGUGCUAAUAAGAAAAUUAUGUUAGAUAAAGGGACUUAGUGAGUAUUAGCUUUUGUUUUGCAUUGCAAAAUAUUUUUCAAAGUAUUUUUAAAUUUGUUUUCCUUAAAAAAGAUUAAAUUAAUUUUUUAAAAAAAUGUUUUUAGAUAAUUUUGAUAUGUUGAUAUUUAAAAUAAAUUAAAAAAAAUCUAUGAUAAAUUAUUUUGAUAUAUUUUAAAUUAAAAAACAUUUUUAAAAAACAUUUUACAUCCCAAUACUUUACAAACACUUAAUUUAUAAGGUAAUUAAUGUUCGCACCCGCACAAUUCUCUUUGUGGAGUGAUAAAAUCUAUUAUACUAAAUUAUAUAUCUCUUAAAUUGUAUGUAAAGUAACGAAUACAGUUACUGAGUUACAAAAUGGUUUUCUCAAUAUUAUAUUAACAAGUCCCAUGUUUCAGUUACGAAGCAUAUCUACCCAUUUCUGGUGCUUCUCUUCUAUAAUUAACUUUUUUCAAGGAAAACAUGGUGAAAUCUAGGGUUAAGAAUAAAAAAAGAAGAUGGAAGGGAAGAUGAAGUACAACAAUCAGAUUAGCGAGAAGAGCAAGCAUCAAAAUUCUGGAUGGAGAAUUAUCGUAUUGUAAUGAGAAGUUCCAGUUUUCCAGACUGCAGCUGUAGAAAUGACAAGGACACCUGCUAAGAAGGCCAGUAAUCUGUAGUGAAUGAGGAAAUUCAUGGAUAGUGGCAGCGAGAUUUAGCAUGAAGCGUUUCAAGGUAUAUUCUCCCAUAUACUUAUGAUUCCAUCAGGAAGCUUGUUUUCUCUAUUGUAAUUCAUGUCGCUAGAGGCAAUAGAAUUGCACUUGCACCUGCACCUGCUGUUCUUGCCUGCAUUUACAGAGAUAUAUAUGACGUUGUUGAAAGGGAAAUCGCAGAGUCAACCUUGUUGGGGAUUCCAAAGGGAAAACAUGAUGGUUUAACAGUUAAGCUUUGGUCAUCAACGCAAUCAGUUCAGGUUUGGGUUUGGAAGAGGUUCAAUGAACUGCAGCCGAAGCCUAAUCUGAUGAAGAGUGGGUGCCCUAGGUUGGCUCAGUACUGGGACAAAUUGAAACAGAAAGUUGAGAGUGUUUCGUUGGUUUUAAUCUUUGAGGAUUUCAAUGCAAUUCGGAAGUGAUGAAGAUCUCUCAGGUUGCAUGGGCUGCUGCUGACUGCAGAUGACAUUUAUUCCCACUUGACGUGUGAUGACCCAACACGCAGUCUACGCGGCGCUGUUUGUUCAGCCGAACCAAAACCUGAACUGAAAUAUAAAUAUAUUUUUUUAAUUUUUUAAUAUAUAUAUAUAUAUAUAUAUAAAAAGAAAUUAAUUUGAAGGAAAUAUUUUUUUUAUAAAUACUUUUAAAUUGUAAGUAAAAACAAAUGCUCUAAAAAUAAUUGGGGUCAUUGUAAACAAAUAAUGUUGUUUGAUUUUUAUAUUUUUUAAAUAUUUUUAUUUUGUAAUAUUGAAAAAUAUAUUAAUGCAUUCGAGUUUUGCAGUGUAAUCCAUUAAAUACACAACUUGAUCAUUAACUUCAUUUAUUCAACCUUCUUCUGUUUGCUCUCCUAUUGAAGCGAAAUGAAAAGCAAGAAGCUACUGGAUUUAGGGUUUGUUUGGGAAUGCAAUUAAAACUAUGUUUUUUAUAUAAAAAAAAAUUCAUUUUUUUAAAUUAUUUUCAUGUUCUGAUAUAAAAAAUAAUUUUUAAAAAAUAAAAAAUAUUAUUUUAAUAUAUUGUUAAGCAAAAAAUACUUUAAACAACAAUUGCUACCAGACUCCCAAACAUAUCUAUUGAUUACAACAAACAUACAAUCAAAGCUUUUCAUUUUGUUAAAUAUUUCUAUGCACUACAAUGUAUUCAUGUUUUCAAGAAAUAUAUAUAUACAAAAGGAAGUAAGAAAACCUCGUCUACUUAAACUCCUAUUCUAGGUAAGAUAAUAAUCUGUACAAAUAGAUUUCAUUACAAUCUUGGAAUCCAUACAUAUCUUACCAGCUAAUACACAAUCUUGUUAGCUAACACUCUCCCGCAAAUUGGUGCAUAGAUGUCUAUCAUGCCUAACUUGCCAAUCAUACUAUAAAAAUCCUUGUUUGAUACUGCCUUAGUGAGGAUAUCAAUUAUAUGACUUGUAGAUUUAACAAACAGAAAACAUAUAAUUUUUUUAUAUCUAACUUCUCUUUGAUAAAAUGACGGUUUACUUCAACAUGUUUAGUUCGAUCAUGUUAAACAUGAUUGUGUGCAAAUCUGAAUUGCUACGUUAUUAUCACAUUACAAAUUGAUAGAAUCUAUAUACUUGAUCUCUAAAUCCUUCAAAACACUCUUGAUCCAUAACAACACAUAUAUUCCCUAAAUCAUUCCUUGAAAUUCUACUUCUACACUAUAUUUUGCUAUAACUUUCUAUUUUUUACUUCUCCAAGUAAUCAAAUUCCCUUCCAUAAAGGUCGAAUAACCAGACAUAAACCUCCUAGGUGUUUGAUUUCUUGCCCAGUCUGCAUCAAUAUAGCCUUUAAUAUUUGAGACACCAUUCUUCAAGUAUAAUUAACCUUUGUUAGGCGCACCUUCAAGAUACUUAAGAUCAUGUAGACUGCAUCCAUAUGCUUCUCAUUUGAUGCAUGCAUAAAUUGGCUCACGAUACCUAUAAUAUAUGUUAUAUCAAAUCUAGUAUGGGUUAGGUAAAUUAACUUAUCCAUAAGUCUUUGAUACCGACCCAUAUCUGUAGGGAGUUAAUCUGGAAAGAUCCCAAGUCGAUGAUUCGUUUGUAUUGGUGUUUCAAUAGGUUUGCAAGCUAGUAUCUCAAUCUCACUUAGAAGAUCCAAUAUGUAUUUAUGCUGUGAAAGGGAAAUUCCUUGUUUGGACCUUACUACUUCAAUGCUAAGAAAAUACCUUAGUUUUCCCAAAUCUUUCAUUUUGAAUUCUAUAGACAAGUACUCUCACAAUGUCCUCAUUUCUUUAGGAUCAUUACCUAUCAAAAUCAUGCCAUCUAUAUGCACAAUCAAUAUCGUUACCCUUCCAUCUUUAUGUUUUACAAAUAACGUAUGAUCUAUAUUGCUCUAUUGAUAACUAAUUGCUUUCAUUGCCAAAGUAAACCUCUCAAACCAUGCGCGAGGAGAUUGCUUUAAACCAUAUAGAGAUCUAUUUAGGUUGCACAUUCUGCCUUCGUGUUUGGAACUUUGUUUUAUUCCAAGCAGAGGUUCUAUGUACACCUCUUCUUCUAGAUCACCAUUCAAGAAAACAUUUUUUUAUGUUGAAUUGUUGUAGGGGCUAAUCUCAAUUUGCAGUAAUGGAUAUGAGAAUACAGAUGGUGGUGAGCUUGGCUAGUGGUGCAAAGGUCUCUUGGUAGUCGAUACCAUAUUUCUAGGCAUACCCUUUGGCCACGAGUCUCGCUUUAUAUCUAUCAAUGCUUCCAUCCGCUUUAAGUAUAACAAUGUAUACCCAUCUACACACAAUUGCAUUUUUUUUUGCUGAUAACACAACAAGUUCCUAAGUGUAGUUCUUCUACAACGCUUCCAUCUCUUCAUUCAUAGCCUUUUUUCACCUUGAAUCUGCCAAUAUAUCCUGCAAAUUAUUAGGAAUAGACACUUUGCAUAAUUGAUUAAUGAUUAGUGCAUAAGAUUCUAAAAGUCCAUGAAAAGAGACAUAGUUAUUGAUAGGAUAUUUAACAUUGGUUUUAAUGUCCAGCUUAUAUUGUUUCUUUGUAACACCUUUAUGAGGUCUUUGUGAAUACUUGGGAGUGGGUUGAGAUGUAUCCUUAGUGGUGGGAUUAUCUAGGAUAUUUUAAGCAGAAGACUCUCUAGUUGAUGGUACGAGUAAGUCACUCAUCGCAGUUUCUUCCUCACUGAGGUUCGUAGCUUUUGUGUCAUCAGCACACAAUUCAAUCAUCUCAGCUUCUUCCCCAUCAUGGUUUACAACUUCUGUGUCACCAACAUAAUCCCUACAAAGGUAAUUGUGCAAUGAUAAAUUCCUCUCGUUUGGAAUAGUUUAAGUACCAGUGAACAAAGUAGCAUUAUGCUUAUUACUACUCUCUUUUUUUUCAAAUGCCACUAGCUAUAUAAAAACACCACCUCACUUUUAUCAAAAAUAAUAUUGCAAAGCUUACCCUUUUCAUACACAUUCUCCCCCUGAAGAGGAGAGCCUAAAUCGUUUACUAAAUACUAAGGAUUCAUUUCACGAAAGGAGACAUCAAGAGAUACAUGUAACUCGUGAGUUUGAGGGUAAUAACAUCUGUACCCUUUCUGAAAAUCAGGGUAACUAAUAAAUACACAAUGUUGGGCAUAGGGAUCAAGCUUGCUACGCAAGACUUUGAGUAUGUGAACAUACAUUGUAUAACCAAAGGUUUUAGGUUCCAAGUUUGGUUGAUGGGGUAUGUAAAAGAAGGUUUGUAAUUUUUAGUAUAGGGUCUAGAAAUCAAUCACCCAGGAAGGCACUGUAUUGAUAAUGUAGACAACAGACUUGGCAGCCUCUUCGCAAUAGAAAGGAGGCAUAUUCAUUCCAAAAAAAAUGCACGUACCACCUCCAUGAUCUACCUAUUUUUCCUCUUCACAAAGCCAUUUUAUUGAGGUGUGUAGGUGUAAGAAGUAUGAUGUCUAAUUCCUUAUUGUCAAAGAUAAUCACCAAGCGAGUUCUCAAGAAAUUCCAUGGAAUUGUCAUAUUGCCAUACCUGAAUUUGUUUUUGAAAUUGAGUUUUCUCCAUGUUGUAAAAUUCCUAAAAAAUAGUACUAGCAUCACUUAUCUUAGGUAAUAAGGAUACUCACGUCAUACGAGUGCAUUCAUUAAUAAAGGUAAUAAAAUAACAAGUUUUAGCCAUAGAUGGGAUUACUGCAAAUCCCCAAAUAUCAAAGUGAAUAACCAGAAAGGGUUUAGAGCUUUUGUUGAAAGAAGGGAAGUAAGGUUUACAAUGGCUUUUUGUCAAUUCACAAAUGUCACAUUGAAAAUCCAAAAUAUGCAAUUCUAUAAACAAAUUAUGUUUUAAUUUCUGAAGCUAACUAAAGGAAAGAGGCCUUAGCCUCUUAAGCUAGAGCUACACCUUAGACAACUUCCUAUCACCUUUCGUCACAAAACAUGCCUUAAUGUACUGCCAUUUGUUAGUUGUUGUCAAUUUCAAGUAGUAGAGGUUGCCCCAUUAAUUUAACAUCACAACCAAGAGUCUUUUGGGUCAAAAUAUCCUGAAAAACACAAUAAAAAGACCAAAAAAGUAACAAUGUAAUUUAGUGCUAAAGUGAUUUGGCCUACAUAUAACAAAUUACAUUCAAGACUAUGAACAACCAAUAUUGUAUUAAGAGUUAUGGCAGUAGUUAGAGCAAUGGAGCCCUUUCUGGUAAUAAGGGAGAUAUCAUCAUUGACUAUAGAUAUGACUUGUUGGGAUGAUGAACGAAGAUUUUGUAAUUUACUAGAGUCUUUAAUCAAAUGAUCGUAUGCACCGGUAUCAAUAAUCCAAGUAUUAUCCAUAGUAAUAGCAGAAAGAACACUAGCCUUAACAAUAUUACCUGGCUGAGUUAAAUUAGUUAAAUUAACAGUAGGCAUGGAAGUCCCCUCCUAAAUUAGAUGGCUUUCACCUGAUUUCGCCAUUACAGUUUUUCUAGUAAUGUUCUUCCGUGAUUUUUUUCAAAAAUCCUACCAUUCAGGAUAUCCAAUAAGCUCAUAGCAACGCAGCUUUGAAUGACUAGAUUCACCACAGUGGAUACAAACAUAGUUAUUUGGCUUUCCUGAAUCUUGACUAUUUUUCCCUUUGGCAGAACUAGAAGCUAUUCCUCGCUGGUUUUGAUUAGCUAUCAUGGUUGUAUUUUCAAAGACCGGCCGAGAAACUCCAAUAACUUGUCAUUGUUGUGACUCUCUUCUCACACAUGCGUAGGCUGCUUCUAGGUCCAGUUUUGGUUCCUUUCAAAGAAUUUCCCCAUGGAUUUGAUCAUAUUUAGAAUCAAGACCGCUUAAAAAAAAUGUACUCACAAUCUAAUCAUCACCGCAUGAAGUUGUACAAUCCCUUCAAUAGAUUCUUCUUAGAAUGUGCUGCGAUGAUCGAUUUCCUGAAAGAUUGCAACAAGUUCAUUAUAAUACAUGGAUAAAGGCCUAACAUUCUGAGUGGUUAAAAAUGACUUUUGAUUCAGUUCGAACAAUUAUGUUUCAUCAGAUCCAUUGUAGAAGGUCCUUGACACUGCCUCAUAUAUUUUCCUUGCUAUAACAAGACGAAUGAAUCUCUGCAUUAGGUGGGGCCUCAUUGAUUCGAUGAGCCAACUCUUUACUUUAUGAUUUUUGAUAAUCCAUGUAUCAUAGUUCAGAUCAUUAGGUGCAAGUUUCACCGCUAUCACAGUUAGAUACCCAACCUUGUUGCGGUCCCAAUAUGCAUCUCUAUUAACUGCGACCAUAACAUAUAGUUGGUUUCAUUGAGAAUAAUAUUGACAGGAGAGCCGGAGGUUUCUUGUUGAACGAUAAUUGGGUUUGACAAAGGAUUGCGUGGAGUGGCUGGAACAAUUGGAUCUCGCUCUUGUUCUGCCAUUGUGAUUUUGUUUGUAGGAGGAAGUCCCUGGAAUACAAAGGUCAAGGGAGAAUGCAGGGAAGAAUAGUAAAAAAAAAAAAAAAGUUUUUCAAGCCUGAGCUCUGAUAUCAUGUUGAUUACGACAUUCAACCGAAGCUUUUCAUUCUGUAAAUAUUUCUGCGCACUACAAUGUAUUCAUCUUUUCAGGAAAUAUAUAUAUAAAGGAAGUAAAACGUCCUAGUAUGCCUAAACUCCUAUUCAGGGUAAGACUAUCUGUACAAGGAAACAACUACAAUCUUGGAAUCCAUACGUCUCGACAGCUAAUACACAAUCUUGCCAGCUACCACUAUCAAAAUGGUAGACCCGUGAUAUUUGCUGGAGAGAAACAAUGAGGCCCUUCUUGGCUCUCUCCAAUCUAUGCCCUUCUUGGCUCUCUCCAAAAUGGCGCCGUUUGUUCAGCCGAACCAAAAGCUGAAGUUAAUUAUAAAUAAUAUUUUUUUUAUUUUUUAAAAUAUAAAUAUAAAUAUUCAACUUUUGCAGCUUAACCCCGUUAAAUACGCAACCUUAUCAUUAAAUUCAUUUAUUCAACCUUCUUACAUUUGCUGUCCAUGUGCUCUCCUGUUGAAGCGGAAUGAAAACCUAAAAGCUCCAAAAUUUAAGGGGUUGUGUUUGAAAAUAUAAUUAAAUCAUGUUUUUUAAAAGUUUUAAAAAUUAUUUUUUAUAUAUAUUUUCAGAUUGUUUUGAUAUUAAUAUCAAAAAUAAUUUUUUAAAAUAAAAAACACUUUAAACAUCAAAAUUUUAAACUCCCAUACAUGUCAAAAUGGUAGACCCAUAAUAUUUGCUGGAGAGAAACAAUGAGGACAUUCUUUGCUCUCCCCAAUCUAUGCCCGAAGGUCGAUGUGCAUGUGAUGUGUCUUCCCACCAUGUGAUGUGUCCUUAAUAAUUUGAUUAAUUGCUGUUAAUCUUUGAUGUCUUUAUUCACGAUUUUUCCACAAUAAGAUACUGUGUCGAUGGUCCUGCCAUGUUCUAAUUUAAUAGCAUAUAAAAAUAAAAAUCAAUACUUGUAAAACUUAAAUACCAACUAGAGUGUUUAUUUAAGUAUUAUAAGUUUUUAUAAAAAAAAAACAAAAUAUGGCUAAUUAAUAUAAAAACCAAAUAAAUAUUGAAUAUUAAAAUUAAAAAAAAAAAAAAAAAAUUGAGGUUGUUCAUUGUUUAUAUGAUGAUCAAGCACCAUAAUAUGCUUCAAUCCUAAAGAGAGUAAUAUAUAAUUCUUGAUUGGGUAUUUUUUUUUUUUUAAAAAAAAAAAAAACACUAAUAAUAACAUCUUUAACUGAAAGGACACAAUAUGCGUGUUGCGCGAGCUCUGGUUGUUAAAAGCCUGGCAGUGUCAUUAUUUGUGAGAAACCGUUUCAAAUCAUAGAAAUCAAAACAAGCAUUUAUGGCGUUAUCGUGCGAUAUCGAAAAGAUACGCGCGAGAGAUCUACAAAGCUCGAGCGGAAGACUUGAUGACUUUGUGGAUUCAUUUAUACAGAUCUGUAAACGGUAUUGUUAAGAGCCCUAGUCAUUGUAUACCCAACCUUUCAAUUUCAAUAGAAAGGAGGAAGUCAGUCAAUACGGGUGUCUGCAACCAUGGAUUCGAUCAAGCGUUUAGCCCCGAGCCCCUGUGUUUCCAAGUCCAAACACAGGAAACAAUAUUGGGUACGAAACAAAUCUAGUUAUAUUUCUAUGUUUUUCUUAUAAAGAUUAUUCUUAAUGCUUGUUUCUUGACUUCUUGUUGCUAUAUAUCAUGUCAUUAUCCCCAGAAAUUAAAAAUUAUUAUUUUUCUUAUACAUGUUAAGAAGAACAGAGAGAGGAGAGAAACUAUAAAACGAUUGGAAACAGAUAUGAUCGAGAUCGGUGAGGGACAACAACGCAUCAGAGAAGGGCAACGAGAAAUAAGACAAAAGUUUGAAGAGAUAGGAUCUGAAUGCCGCAGGCUCAAAGAGGAGACGAUGAACAUAGCCAAGCAGAGUGAUUACAACCAAGUCAGGAUAAACCUAAUGUUUAGCAUCUUGAAAGCCCGUGAAGACAACAACUUUGCCCAUGCUGAUCACCUUACUGGGCUCCUCCGGUUGGUUAAAUUCCCUUCGCCAUUUCUUUUCUUAAUUCUUGGGAUUUCGGAUUUCAUAAUUAAUCUUGCUAAUGCUAGCUAUUACAAGGAGAGAAACAUAAGUUAACGAACUCAAAAUAAAAGAAUCAAAAUGCACCCUUGAUAAUUAAUCUUCUCUCAAUAAUUGUGUUUCCUAUUCGUUGUGUUGGCAGCAAGGAAAUGGAAAAGCAGGAACAAGGAAAGGCAGGCCUGGUUGGCUGACUCAUGAUCAUGGAAAACGACGAGCAGUUUGCCUUUGCAGUGACUCCUGAUCGUCUUUUCUUAUUAAAAUGAAAUCAUCAGUCCUAAAUCUAGAUAUGUAUCGACAUUAGUCUUCCCUUGAUAUCCUUCUUCCUUUGAUGAAGUAUUCAUUUGAUUAAGGAUUUGCGUUCUCUUUCCGAAUUGAAUGUUUUGAGUUAUAGUACAUACCAUGUGAAUUGCCGGGCGAUGCCACCGAUUGUUAUAUAAACGGUAUAAGCAUUCGGUUGAGUAUAAUCUGAGGUAAUCGAAGAAGAACAUAGGCCGACAUAAUUAAACAAAAUGAGAAAAAAAAUAAAAAUUACUAGAAGUAUUGAGGUUAAGCAAUGCAAUCACAAGCUUUAUGUUAGAGAAACGUAAAGUCUUAACUAGCCUGUUUAGCUUUGCAGUAUUCAGUUGUUUUUAUUUAUUUUGAUUUUGUUUUUUAAGAAUUAUUUUUCAUAUUAAUUUUAAAAUAAAUAAAUAAAUAAAUCAUUUUUUUUUACCAAAAAAGGGUGUGGCUUCAAUAACAAAUAGUGAAAAAGUCUCAAAUACAAAGCAACAAGUACAUAAUAAAUUACCUGAUUGUUAAUCAAGGUAUACAUAAAUUCACUCGAAUAUUUAUAAUUAUUAAAAUAAUAAUAAUAAAGAAAGAAAGAGCUCCAGACUUUUUGACCGUGCAUUCUCAUUUCACUUUGAAUUCCAGUGAGAUUGAUAAUUUCUUUUGGAAAAAAAAACUUGUUUAACUUUGUCUCAGGUGUAGAAAGGUGUUUUCAAUGGGAUUUAUUAGUAAUUAUUAUUUUUAAUAGGGACAACUUAGUUUGUUUGCGUUUUAAAUAAAGUGUAAUGAUUUAAACACUUUUAAAAGUAAGAAAAAUUAAAACUAGUAGGAAUAGUUUUAUGGUUUUAUAGUAAAAGAAUGAUAUUGCCCUUAAAAGAAAAUGAUAAAACUUGUAUUCAGAGUCAUUUAGAUCUUUUCAAUACAGUUAUUUUGUAAUUAUAUAUUUGAAUUAAAAACAAUUAAAUCUUUAAUUAUAUUUAUAUAAAUAAUUAAUAUAUGUCACAUACAUUUUAGCAAGUGAAAGGCGUUCAUGCUCUUAAGAUGAUGUUUGCCUCCCCUAACAAUGGUUAAAAGUUGUGUAAACAAUGAUGUUUGAAACGAUGGGUCAUUCUCUUUGCGAUGGUGGGAUGCUUGUUUACGAAUGAAGUGUGGUUGAGCUCCUUAUAAACAUUUUUCUUUUCCUGUUUUUUCUUCCUCUUUUAGUCUAGAAAUUGAUGCCAACUCUUUUAAAAAUUUAUUGUGUUCUCUAGUUUGUAUUUUUAUUAAUUUUGAUUAUCAUUUGUUUUUGCUUUUAAUGCAUUUUGAUCUUUAAUUGAUUUGCAAUUUCAUCCAUAAGAAUUUUGUUUCAUUUAAUUUUUAUAUGAAAUUUGAUCUUUAUUAUUUUAUUUCUAUUUUUUUUGUUUUUAUACUUAUCUAGAUUUUUUUUUUCAAUUUUACCUCUCAUUAUUUUAUUUUAUUUAAUUUUUGCAUUCAAUUUUAAUCUUUAUUUUUUUAUUGUUAUUUUUUUUAUUUUCUUAAUUUUUUUCAUUUAGCUUUUAUGCUAGAUUUAGUCAUUGUUGUUUCGAUUACUAUUUAUUUUGGUUUUUAAUUUUGGAUGAUUAAGGAUUAUGCUUAGUGAUUUUUUAUUGUUUGCUUUUAAUGAGAUAAUCUCGAUCUUAUGAACCGGGUCACUAUUUCAAGGAUUAAUCCGAUUUAACUUUGAUUUUUUAUUCCUUUUUUUUAAAACAAAAUAAUUACUUUUUAAUUUCAUCAUUUGGUUUUAGGUUAUUAGGUCUAAAUUCCCCCCAUUUAUGUGGUGUUAUUUCGGUGUUAUAUCUUAGGUUGAGUUUUUUUCGAGAUAACUCUGGUUUUUUUUUUUUUAAUUUAGUUUUUCUAAUUUAAUUUUUUAAUAUUAAAUUAUUGAACCUUACAAAUUGUAUUUUGUUCAUUAUUUUUUUUUUUUAUAAGUUUAACAUGAUCUCGAGGUCAUUGUCUUUUUUUUAAAUUAAUUUUUUUAAUCUGGAACUCCCAUCACGGGUCGCAUGGUAGUCCAACUAAUCUGAGUUAAGUUAAAGUUUUUUCAAUUUUUUUUUAUUUUUUUUUACCAGUCGCACGCACUGUGUAGCGUAAAACUAAAAGUUGUAUCAGAAGAAAUGUGCAGGACAUGUGUAGGUCGGCUAAUGCUGGCCAUAAAUAGCCAUGUCUGUGAAGCUAUGCAGGUGUGCUAGUGGAGACAGAAACACUUAUGCAGAAAAGUGUGACGUAUGUUCCGGUAGUUCCAAAAAGAAUCAGAUAAAUAGUUGAGAAAUUUAAUAUUUUAAAGUUGUUUUAUGGGAAACAUGAUAUUUCAAAAAUAUAUUUGUUAAAUGACUUCACAAUUUACGAUGACGAGAGAAAAAUAAAAUAAAUACUUUAAUUAUACAUCAAAUCUAUCAUAAAAAAAACUCGACCAUGUGAAUCUAAUAAAAUUAAAGAAGUUCACCAAGUAGAUCACACUCAUUGAAGCUCUAAUUAUAAUAUCACUAGCAGCAUUAUAAAGUUCUGGACAAAAUAAAUCAAAUAUAAACAAUAAAGAUAAUCAAGGAUAAUGAUAAUUGAAGUGGGUCAUAUAUAAUAGGCGGAAAACAUGGUGAAAUCUAGGGUUAAGAUUAAAAAAGAUGAUGGAAGGGAAGAUGAAGGUGAAGAUGAAGAACAACAAUCAGAUUAGCGAGAAGAACAGGCAUCAAAAUUCUGGAUGGAGAAGUUCCAGUUUUCCAGACUGCAACAGUAGAAAUGAUAAGACCACCUGCUAAGAAGGCCAGUAAUCUGUCGUGAAUGAAGAAAUUCAUGGAUGGUAGCAGCGAGAUUUAGCAUGAAGCAUUUAACUUGUUUUCUCUAUUGUAAUUCAUGUCGCUAGAGGUAAUAGAAUUGCACUUGUCUUGCCAGCAUUUAUAGAGAUAUGAAUCUGUUGAAAGGGAAAUUAAAUCGUAGAGUCAACCUUGUUGCGGAUUCCAAAGGGAAACCAUGAUGGUUUAACAGUUAAGCUUUGGUCAUCAAUGCAAUUGGUUCAGGUUGGGGUUUGGAAGAGGUUCGGUGAACUGCGGCGGCCGGAGCCUAAUCUGAUUAGGAGUGGGUACCCUAGGUUGGUUCGGUGGAACAAAUUGAAACUGGAAGUUGAGAAUGUUUCGUUGGUUCUAGACUCGGAUAAAGAGAGUUUUAGCUCUGGAAAACUGGGAUUUCCUCAAGUUUUAUGGAGAAAAAGAAAUGUGGGCCGGCGACUGUUGGUUCUAGUUUGAACGACGAUUUAAUGGCAUUUGCUCGACGCGUCAGGAUUUCAAUGCUGUGUGGAGUUGGCUGUUCAGAACAGUAUUUACCUCAUAGGGUUGCAAUGCAAUUCGGAACCGACGAAGAUCUUUCAGGGUUGUGUUGGUCAAUGCUCUAAUUAACAGACCUGAGAUUGCAGAGAGCUUAAAGCUUUUGUUGAAGAGCUUGAGCAGAUGAUCACACGAAUAAAAACAGCAAGAUUAAGACAAAAUUGUUAACCUAGCUAGCCUUCUUCGUGAGAACGAUUUGCUUGAUUUUAUUUUAUUUGAAUUCAUGGCUUCUCUUCUCUGUUGGCUAUGCUACUAACAUGGCAGUAGCAUUGCAGCAGGUUCCUAAUAUGGAUAACUCCCGCCAUUGACAACAGAUGCAGAACAAGGUUAAAAGGAUAAAAGAAAUAAAUAUAUUCAUAUGUAACCAUGCACUAUGGCAUGAAGUUAUUAUCACAGUGUGCAGACAAAUGCCGUGUGCUGCUGGACCCAACGAGAGUCUACUAGGCGUUAUCUGUUCUGCCCACCCAAUCCUGACUAGAUAAGCACUUGAGAGUUUUUUUUUAUUUUAUCCAGUUGAUUUGAAGUGUUGUUUUGAUAUAAAUUUUGUAAAGAAGAGAUAUUUUUGUUAAGACCAAUUUGAUAUUUGUAUUUUUGUUUAAUAAUUUUAUCUUUUAAAAAUAUCUUUUAUUUGUUUAUAUAAAAGUUUAAAUAAAAGCAAUAGAAACUAGUAGAAUUCAACAUUAAUUAAAUAUUAUGAUGAUGUUUGAUUCAUGUUGUGAUAACUUUAUAAAUAUUAAAUUCAAAUAAAUUAUGAUGACUAAUUUAAAAUUAAUUAAUUAUUAAAAGAGUUUUUUUAAUAUUAAAAUGAUGAUAUAUUAAAUCAACCUAAACUUUACAGUUUAAUUUGUAAAACCUUGACUUGAAUCAUGAACUCCACUUGACAAAUUAAAAAAAAAAACAUUAAGGUUGUUACGACGAUAAAGCACAAACAACAAUAAUAAUUCAAGAUUUUGACUAAAAGUAGAAUCCAUUAUACAUGUGUGUUGAUUAUUGAGUUAUAACCCGUCCGUAUAUGAAAAGGAAUGAAUUUAGCAAAGUUAUUAAACUCGGUCGACCUAAUGGUUGGACUGGUCUGGGUUUGUUAAAAGACCAGUCAAUGCAAUGACCCGACAAAACCUGGUCGACCCAUGACCCGGAUGAGACCCAAUAUUUUUUUUUUCAAACGUGGUUUUUUUUUAUAACCUUCUUUUUUAUAUUUUUUUUAGUUGGUUAUUAACACUUUUUAAAGUUCACUAUAUAAAUACUAAAAAUAUAUUUUAUUUUUUCAAUGUAGAAUUUGAAACCCUUUAGUAUAUACUCUAUGUUCCCAAGAAAUUUUUUUUUUUUUCAAUGUGGGAUUUCAAGCCCUUUCAUAUAUAUACUUUAUGUUCAUAAGAAAAAAGUUAUGUUUUUUCAAAGUGAGAUUUGAAACCAUAUAGCAUAUAUACUCUGUUUCCAAGAAAAAACGUUGUUUUUUUAAAUAUGUAAUUUGAAGUUCCUUCGUAUAUAUACUCCAUGUUCAUAAGAAAAAUGUUAUGUUUUUUCAAUGUGAGAUAACAAACGUUUUGGUUUAAAUACUUCAACUUAAAAGUAUGACAUAAUAUAUUUUUAAUGUGAGAUUUAAAGCCCUUUAAUAUAUAUAUAUAUAUAAUAUAUAUAUAUAUAUAUAUAUAUAUAUAUAUAUACACCUAUAUUCCUAAAAAAAAAAAUUAUUUUUUCAAUGUAGGAUUUAAAGUCCUUUUGUAUAUAUAUUUUAUUUUCACAAGAAAAAUGUUAUGUAUUUUUCAAUGUAAGAUUUUAAAUUUUUUAUUAUACUUUAUCUUUAUAAAUUUUUUUUUUAAAUUAAUCCAAUUAACCUGUCUACCUUUAGAGCUGAUUUAAUAAUUUUGGGAUGGAAGGAAUAUUUAAAAUAGUCUUAGAACAAGUCACAUUUGUUUGCUACCCGAUUUGAAAAGAGAAAGUUGCUCUCCCGUAAUGUCUACUUUUAAAAUCAAAAGAAUCCAACAGAAAACGGCAACCAUGACCAUGCCAAAAGGGCUUAAACAAAAGCUCUACAAGAUCAAUCCACGAAAGUUAAACUCCAUUGAAUCAAGAUUUGAAUGUGCUGGGCAAUGAAAAGCCCACGAUUAUAUAAAAUAAAAAAAUAAAAUUCAAAGAGAGUACUGGAAUGCUUGACUAUAACUGUAAAACCAAGCCUAGUCCAAUAAAUCUAUGUAAAAAUCCGAUAAUUCAGAACCUAGAUUAAUUGCUAUCAUGAUUUAUGACCUAACCAAUUUAGUUACAUUAAUGUUGACCAUGAUUUAGUCUAGAUUUAUCCUAGUCAAAAGAGAAAAGAAAUUCCAUAAAAUCUUAACAUGAUAAUCGGGGUCAUUUUCUUCGAGCAAGCAACGAAUCUCCAUAAAAUCUUAAACAUAAUUAGUGCAUAGAUUACCAAAUAUAUAUAUAUAUAUAUAUAUAUAUAUAUAUAUAUAUUGUACCAGAUGAAACAAAACAAUUCUCAGUACGUGGCGUUGUUAUACCUGAGAAUGAUCUAAAAAAUCAGGUCAUAGAUUUCUAGCCUAUACACUGAUUUUAUUAAAAGAAUGAAGAAAGAAAUGGAAGUAAAUAUAAACAAAUUUCUAAUACGAACGAAUAAGGCAAGACCAACAAUGUCAGGAUCCUUGAUCAAACACAGAGCAUUCUUAAUAAAGUAUAACAAGAAUUUAAAUGAUGAAAAUAAAGUCUUACUUAAAUUUGUAAUGCAAAUCAAUACACGAGAUAUUGAUUAUAGAGGAGAGUGGAUAUGGGUUAAAGGUACGAGUUACAAGGGAGAAUAAAAUUUUCUCAGGGAAAAUGAUUGUCUGCCUUCUGAGGAUUUAGAAGUCCCCUUUUAUAAAUGAGUUGACACGGAAGAGGCCAAAAUGUCUUGUUGGGAAAGCUUGGAGAUUUCGUUAGAACCCAUGUGAACCCAUGUUGUAUUGCUUUCCAUGAUUGGGUGACGACAAAAUGAAAAAUGCCUAUGUUUUUUGUGGGACUUUCAUUUGUUGUCUUCUUGCCACCGACACUGGAUUUGUUUGUUUGUAAUAGCAGGUGAUAUUUGUAAUAAAAAACCUAAAACUAAUGGGCUUAAAAUUAAAAAGGACUCAAAACAGUUGAGUCGAAAAUAUAUGGGCUCUAAACAGAUGAGCCUGAGAAAGCCUAAAAUACUCUUUUUUUUAUUUUAUUUUAAUGUCGCUUGAUAGGCGGUAGGAUACCAAAACAGUCAUCUUCAUUAUCGUCUCCAAGGGAAAUGGUAAGAGAUAUCGAUCCAGAUGAGCUGGAUUGGGACAAGACCGUUUUCGGGUCUUGGCUUUGUAUAAUGCUUUGGACUAUUUGUAGGUAUUCUUCUUUAGUUUUAGUAGGCAAUGAAAGUUGUCGUUUGAGACUUUCGGGCUAGAAACUUUGAUUGAGGAUGAUGAUCAAUGAUGAGAGCUAUUUGAUGUUUUUGUAACCAUUCCGUAACAACUAAUUUGGAACUUUUGGAUUCAGCUGCAAAAGAAUCCUACCAUUUGAUUUUGAACUUGCGAACAAGUACUAGAUGUCCGAUUUGUAGAUUAUAAUCAUAAAACCAUGAAUAUACCCAUGGCAUAAAAACUUUUAUACAGAAAAUGAGAAGGGAAGAGAACUUCCUUUCAUAAGGAGCUAGUUAAAAUUUAUUUUUGAAAUGGAGGUAACUAUUUUCAACUAGAGGAUGGUCUUUGAGGUAGUCAACAUGACAACCAUAGUAGUCCCACCAUUUGAGGAACCAGAGUGGGAGGUUUGUAGUAUUCAUGUCAUUAUGGAAGUAGAAAAACCAAGAAUGACUAUGGUUUGGAUUUUGUAGUAGGAAGGCAUUGAACUAUGCCUGUUGGUAAUCCUAGUACGUAUAGGAAGUAUUGAAGUCCUAGGGGUUUGUACGGAAGUGUAUGAGGAAGGAGAGAUGUUGAUGUAAGGGUUGUCCCCAAUCUUUAGGGUGAAUGACUUUGUGAAUGAUACAUGUAGAAUAUGGCGGUUCAGUGUGAUCAGAAUGAAGUUUGAAGUGUUUGAACUUGACAAAAUUGGUAAUUUCAAGGAUUGCGGCAUAAUAGGUGGUUUGGCUAAAUUCCAGGGUUUGUAGUACCAAUUUGAAUGGAAAAUUUUGGAAGCAACAAUGGAAGGGUUUUCAUGUUAAAAUCCUUCUUCCAUAGUUAAAAUAUUUUGGAAAGUAGUUUUGAAAAUAUAUUUGGAUUUGGUGUUUGGAAAACUGGUUUAUUGUAAAGAAAAGAGGGGUUUUGAAGCAGAAAUGCCUCCUUGAGGUUUUGAAAAUGAUUUGGAAAUAGAUACGGAGUCGCUGGAGGCCUAUUGAGACACUUUUUAUAAUGUUAGGAGUAAUUCUGGUGAUUUGGAUAUAGUGUCAACCCAAUGUUGAACUGCGUAUGUUUGUACAUAUGGUGGUUUUAUAGUUUCUUCUUCUUCAAUAACUGCCUCAUACCAGGAUUUGAUGGGUUUGACAGCUAAGAUAGCUGAAGACAUGAGUUUUGAAAAAGGCUUGGGGCUCUCUGAUUUUGUAGGCUGGGUUUGAGGGGCUUUCCCCUUGUUUUUGGCCUUUGCUUUAGGAGGCAUCAAUACCUAUUUUGAAGGAAUUCUCAGGUUAGGAAAUCAGAAUGGAAUUUGAAUCUCCUUUAAUGUAGACAAUAUCGAAAUAAAAAAUGCUUAAAAUAGCUUGCCAUCUGGCAAAAAUCUGUUUUAAAGCAAGAUUUUGGACAUCUUUUUGUAGAAUUUUUUUUUUGCAGAUUUGCAAUUAACACGUAAAAGAAAUUUUUGAUUUAAUAAAUCACUUUGAAAUUUUGUAAUACAGAAAACAAUUGAAAGGAUCUUUUUUUAUAGUAGAGUAAUUUUUCUGGCAAUCAUUCUAGUGGGCGGAUGUGUAUUGGAGGAUUUGUUCUUUAAGAAUCCCACCAUAUCCUAGGUCAGAGACAUCGGUCUCGACAAUCUUAGGAGCUAACGGGUUAGCUAAAUGGAGGAGAGAAAUAGUUUGGACCUCUUACUUAAUCUGUUUGACUAGGUCGGUAUGGAUGUCGGACCAAGAAAUGAGGUUUGUUUUUAACGUGUCAUGUAAAGGUUUGGCUAGACCGCUAAUAUUGGGAUAGUAGUCUAGAACAUAAUUAAGACUGCCUAAAAACCUUUGCAAUUGGGUUUUAUCGGUGAUCUUAUUAGGAAAUUUAUUUGUAAAGGUUAGAGACUUUUUUAUUGGUGUUACAGUGCCUUGGCAAAUAUAAUGCCCUAGAAAACGGACACGAUUUGGAAGAGAGAAAAUUUUGUUUUAGAAACAAUUAAACCAUUUUUUUUUGUAGUAUGAAAGGAAGUAUGUAGAUGUUUGAAAUGUUGAUCUAUGGAAUGUGAAAAAAUAAUCACAUCGUCAAUGUAAACAAUGCAGAACUUUGAAUGUGCAUUGAAGAUGUCAUCCAUGAUGCGUUGAAAUUCAGAUGGUGCAUUUUUUAGGCCAAAGGGCAUAACAAUCCAUUUGUAUUGGCCUAAAGGAACUAUAAAAGCAGUUUUGUAUCUAUCUUUGGGAUCAAUCUGUAUUUGCCAAAAUCCGGAUUUCAUAUCGAACUUAGAAAAUAUGAAUGCAGAGUGCAAUUUUUGUAACAUAUCUUUUUUGUUGGGGAUUAGAUAUCUGAUCCAUUUGAGAGCAGAAUUUAAAGGUUUGUAAUUGAUCACAAGUCUUGGUAUGCCUCUUUCGAUUUCAGAGUUUUUAUUCACAUAAAAGGCUGCACACAACCAGGGUGAUCGAGACUUUUGGAUAAGACCUUUAGACUCGCAAUCGCGGAUUUCAAGUAUGCAAUGCUGUUCUAAAUCAACAUUUAUUUGGAUAGGUCUUGCUUUUGUAGUUAUAAGAUUUUUUGAAAAAGUAUCUUCAUAUGAAAGAUCAACGAUGUGUUGUUUUCUUUUCUAGAAAGCAUUAGGUAAGUCUGAACAGAUUUGUUGUUCAAUCUUAUUUUGUAAAUCAAUGAUUUUCUUUUGUAAAUCAGAGUUUUGUAAUUGUUUGUUUAUACGACCAAAAAAAAAAAGGUUUUGUAAAUCAUGUAAAUGGAAUUGUUUUCCAUGAAUCAGUGCAUUGAUAUGAUAAGUAUGUAUGGAGCAUGCUUUAAUCAAAUUUAAAUUUCUAGUCUUAGAUUUCUCUAAGAAUGGGAGAACAAGUUUGAUGCUAUUGAUUUUGGAAGUAAUACAAUUAUGAUGUGCUUGAUAUGGAGUGAUCAUGUCGAUGAAUGGAGUGCCAAGAAUGAUAGUAUGAUUAAUAUCUUUUGUAACAACAAAGAAUGUUUUAAGAGAAAUACCUUUGUUGAAAACAGAGGUUGAGUUUUGCCUGCAAUAUGUAACUUUGAAUUAUUAGCAGCAAAGAGUUUUUCAGAGGUAUUUUGUAAAAAUUAUUUUGGAGCCACACCUUCUUUGAUGCAGUUCAAAUAUGCACUUGUGUCAAAUAAGACAAUAGUGUCAAGUUUGAAAUCUCUUGAGAAAAUGAGAGUAAUUCUAGUUAAAUAUUUUUUUGAAGAUAUUUGUGUUAAUACGUUAAGGAAAUCAUUUAGAACAUGCUCAAUAUUUGUAAGUGUAUGUGGCAAUGCAUGAGAUUCAAUGGUUUGAUCUUCUAUAUCAGACUCAGUAUCAAACUAGCUUUCAAUUAUGGAUAGGAGAUGUUGUAGUAUGGCAGAGUCUUUUUGUUGGGCUUGGUUGAGGGUUUGUAAUUCGGAUUUGAGGGUUUUGAUCCUAGAAUGUAAUUCUGAAAUGGUGACUGUGGUUUUGAAUUUCUUUUUGUUAAGGAUCUUUGUAAGGUCAUAGGUACUGGUACUAGUAGAGGGUAGUAUAGAGCGAUUUAGAGGGUUAGAUGAAAGGUAAUCUGGUUGGUUGAAAUCUUUCAAUAACUUAUCUAAGUAGGUUUUUUGAAGUUGAGGAUCAUCAAGUCUUUUGAUAACCUCAAGAAUGAAUUUCUAGUCUUGGGUUAAGACGUUAAUUUGUUUGGAAUUUGUAGAGGCAUAUGAAGUAGCACUAGUAGUUGCUAUUUUAUCGAUUUGAAAUUCUUCUUCAGAAGUGUCUGAAGGAGAGUGGUCAAUGUCUGUGACUUCAAUGUAAAGAUUUUAUAUUUGGUUGAUGGUAUCUUCAUUUAUUUUGAGCUUACAAAGUUUGGUAUUGACCUUGCAGAAACGAGAUAUAUGUCCUUUCUGGUUACAUUUGUAACAAAUAAUGUUUUUAAAAUUAAAUGUUGGUUUGGAUUUUGACUGAAAAUGUCCGUGGGGCUUGGUAAAUUUAUAGAGCUUUUUGUAGUAAGGUUGAUUUAAUUUGGAACAAAACUGUUUUCAUAGUCGACAAGCUCCUCUCUUUAUCCAUUCAGUCCUGAAAAGUAACUAAGACAAUUUCAGUUAUAUUUUCAUGUUCCAAUUAAACACUUUUUAUUUUUUUAUUCUCAAAGAAAAAUAUAUUUUUUUAUUAAAUAUAUAAAGAUCCAAUCAUGAUUUUAUAAUAAGAAUAAGAGAUAUUUUAGUUGGAAAUGAAUCUAAAUGUUAGCUAGAUAAAUGUUUUGUAUGAAUCCUGUAGACCAUUCUUACGAGGAUCGUGAGAGGAGGGCUACAAUUCGUAGAAAAGAAACUGCAAUUCCUUGAGGUCAUCCUGCACUUGUAGAAAAAAUGUAGAAAAUAGAAUUUGAAACAGAAAGUUGAGAAUGUUUCCGUUGGUUCUAGACUCGGGAAAGAGAGAGUUUUAGCUCUGGAGAACUGGGAUUUCGUCAAGUUUUAUGGACCUGUUUUUGGUCAAUGCUCUAAUUAACAGACCUGAGAUUGCAUAGAGCUUAAAGCUUUUCUUGAGCAGAUGAUCACACGAAUAAAAACAGCAAGAUUAGGACUAAAAUUGUUAACCUAGCCUUCUCGUGAGAAUGAUUUGGUUGAUUUUGUUUGCUUUGCUAGUUAUGUUAACAACUCAAGCUUGGCUUUGACAUAUGAAGCAGAUGAAAGUGUUUGGGCUUUAAGCUUUUCAUGACCACCCGGCCGGAGAUUGAAUUCCUGGCUUCUCUUCUUCUGUUGGCUCUGCUACUAACAUGGUAGUAGAGCUUUCGACUGUCAGGCAUGGCGUCAGUAUCGUCAGUAUCGUCACUACUAACAUGGUAGUAGAGCUUCCUUGAAGUUGAAUAUGACUCCUCGGAAGCUCUUCGAUGCCAGUCUUCACAUCGUAAUGUAUUCGCUUCUAACUUAUUUGGGGUCUUUUCAGAAUGGAUCUUGAGAAUGUUCCUCCUCCUGUUCUUCGGUAUCUUUUGGACGCUGAUAGAAUAGGUAUUGCAGCAGGUUCCUUCAUAGAUCAUAACUCCCACCAUUCACAACAGAUGCAGAAGAAGGUUAAAAGGAGAAAAGAAAUAAGUAUGGUAACCAUUGCAGCAGCAUGGCAUGAAGAGGUGUGCUGGACCCAACGCACAGUCUACUAGGCGUUAUCUUUUCUGACAAGCCAAGCAGUCGAGAUUUUAUUCGAUUUUAUCCUGUUGAUUUGAAGUGUGCGAUUUGAUCGAGAAAAAAACUGAAAAGUAUAUUAAAAAUAAAUAAUAAUUAAAAAAAUCGAAUGGGAUAGGGAUAAGGAAUCGCGGCGAUAAACAAACAGAGGAGGCAAGAUAAUAGAUAUGUAAAACCUUCCCCUUCCACCAACAGGGCAUUCCAACAGCCUUCUCGUGCAAACAGUCGAAAAUGCUAGAAAAGAGAAAGAAUAAAAGUGGAUUCAACCUCAGCCAAACUCGUACCUGAAGAUAGAAGAAAGUGAAUUAUUCACGAGUAUACAUAAUAGUAUUUGCUUCCGUAAUCUUGCCACCAAUGUAUGGAAUCGAUUAAAUUAAUUAAAAUUUUUUAAAAAAUAAACCGAUUUGGUUCGGUGGAACAAAUUGAAACAUGAAGUUGAAAAUGUUUCAUUGAAUAUGACUCCUUGGAAGCUCUUCGAUGCCAGUCUUCACAUCUUCAUAUUCAGGCUCUUCUUGGCUCGAGGAGACCAUGCAAAUUCCUUCAUUAAUUAAUUACGGUGAAGGUAAUCAAUGUAUUCGCUUCUAACUUGUUUCGGGUCUUUUCAGAACAAUUCAAUGGAUCUUCAGAACGUUCCUCCAAUUCUUCGGUAUCUUUUGCAGCAGGUUCCCUCAUGGAUCAUAACUCCCACCAUUCUCAACAGAUGCAGAAGAAGGUUAAAAGGAUAAAAGAAAUAAAGGUUAAAAGGAUAGUAACCAUUGCAGCAGCAUGGCAUGAAAAAGCUUAUCACAGUGUGCAGACAAAUGCCGUGUGCUGGACCCAACACACGGUCUGCUAGGCGUUAUCUGUUCUGCCCACCAAUUCUUACAAGAUCAGCACUUGAGGUUUAUUUGCUUUAUCUUUAUCUUUAUCUUUAUCUAUCUUUAUCAGUUUAACAAUUUUAUUUUUUUAAUUAUAUAAUAAUAUUAUAAAAUUAAACUAAAUAUUAUGAGAUGUUUGAUUGAAACUAAACAACUUUAUAAAAUAAUUCUUGAAUGGAUAAUCUGAAAACACCAAAAAUAAUUCAAGAUUUUUACUGAAACUAGGGCCCGUUAUGGAUGUUGUUGGUUAUUAGGCUAGAUAUGUUAUGUCCAUAACAAAUGAAUCUGAUCUAAAUAUUUAAAAGAAUUAUUAAAAAAAAUAAACAGUGUAUAUAUAUAUAUAUAUAUAUAUAGAUAUAGAGGCCCAUAGAAGAUCAGCCUGAUUAGGUUUCUAGCGUUAUCGUGCGUUAGUUAAAAAUAAAUCUGAUCAAAUACACAAUUUUGUCAACUAACACUCCUCCUUAAGUUAGUGCAUAAAUAUCUAUUAUGCCUAACUUGUCAAUCAUACUCUAAAAAUUCUUAUUUAAUAUUGUGUUAGUGAGGAUAUCAGCUAUAUGACUUGCAGAUUUAACAAACAAAAAACAUAUAAUUUUUUUAUUAUCUAAAUUCUCUUUGAUGAAAUGACGAUCUACUUCAACAUGUUUAGUUCGAUCAUGUUGAACAUGAUUAUGUGUAAUCUGCUUAUUAUCACAUUACAAAUUGAUAGGAUCUGUAUACUUGAUCUCCAAAUCCUUGAAAACACUCUUGAUCCAUAACAACACAUAUUCCCUAAACCAUUUCUUGAAAUUCUACUUCUACACUAGAUCAUGCUACAACUUUCUAUUUUUUACUUCUCUAAGUAAUCAAAUUCCCUUCCACAAAGGUCAGAUAACCAAACAUAUACCUUCUUAGUGUUUGAUCUCCUGCCCAAUCUGUAUCAGUAUAGCCUUUAAUAUUUGAGACACAAUUCUUUGAGUACUAUAAACCUUUGUCAGGCGCACCUUCAAGAUAUCUCAAGAUUAUGUAAACUGCAUCCAUAUGCAUAAAUUGGCUCACAAUACAUAUAAUAUAAAUUAUAUCAAAACUAUUGUGGGUUAGGUAAAUUAACUUACCCACAAGUUUUUGAUACCGACCCAUAUCUAUAGGGACUUGAUCUGGAAAGAUCCCAAGUUGACGAUUCAUUUGUAUUGGUGUUUCAAUAGGUUUGCAAGCUAGCAUCUCAAUCUCACUUAGAAGAUUUAAUACGUAUUUAUAUUGUGAAUGGGAAAUUCCUUGUUUGGACCUUACUACUUCAAUGCCAAGAAAAUACCUUAGUUGUCCCAAAUCUUUCAUUUUGAAUUCUACAAACAAGUACUCUCGUAGUGUCCUCAUUUCUUUAGGAUCAUUACCUAUCAAAAUCAUGUCAUCUGCAUACAUAAUGAAUGUCGUUACCCUUCCAUCUUUAUGUUUUACAAAUAAUGUAUGAUCUAUAUUGCUCUAUUCAUAACCAGCUGCUUUCAUUGCCAAAGUAAACCUCCCAAACCAAGCACGAGGAGAUUGCUUUAAACCAUACAGAGAUCUCUUUAGUUUGCACACUCUGCCUUCGUGUUUGGAACUUUGUUUUAUUCCAGGCAUAAGUUCUAUUUACACCUCUUCUUCUAGAUCACCGUUCAAGAAAGCAUUUUUUACGUUGAAUUGUUGUAGGGGCUAAUCUCAAUUUGCAGCAAUGGAUAUGAGAAUAUAGAUGGUGGUGAUCUUGGUUACUGGUACAAAGGUCUCUUGGUAGUCGAUACCAUAUUUAUGGGCAUACUCUUUGGCCACGAGUCUCGCUUUAUAUCUAUCUAUGCUUCCAUCCGCUUUAAGUUUAACAAUGUAUACCCAUCAACACACAAUCACCUUUUUUUUCUGUUGAUAACACAACAAGUUCCCAAGUGGAGUUCUUUUGUAAGGCUUCCAUCUCUUCAUUCAUGGCCUUUUUUCACCUUGAAUCUGCCAAUACAUCCUACACAUUAUUAGGAAUAUAUACUUUGGAUAAUUGAUUAAUGAUUAGUGCAUAAGAUUCCAAAAGUCCAUGAAAAGAGACAUAGUUAUUGAUAGGAUAUUUAACAUUGGUUUUACUAUACAGCUCGUAUUGUUUCUUUGUAACACCUUUAUUAGGUCUUUGUGAAUACCUAGGAGUGGGUUGAGAUGUAUCCUUAGUGGUGGGAUUAUCUAGGAUAUUUUGGGCAGAAAAAUCUAUGGUUGAUGGUGCGAGUAAGUCACUCAUCACAGUUUCUUCCUUAUUAAGGUUUGUAGCUUCUGUGUCACCAGCACACAAUUCGGUCAUCUCAACUUCUUCCCCAUCAUGGUUUACAACAUCUAUGUCACCAACAUAAUCCCCACAAAGAUCACUGUCCAAUGAUAAAUUCCUCUUGUUUGGAAUAGUUUAAGUAUUAGUGAACGAAGUAGCAUUAUACUCGUUAUUAUUCAUCCUUUUUUUCAAAUGCCACUAGCUACAUAAAAACACCAUCAUCCUCACUUUUAUCAAAAACAAUAUUGCAAAGCUCACCUUUUUCAUACACAUUCCCCCCUGAAGAGGAGAGCCUAAGUCGCUUGUUAAAUAAUAAGGAUUCAUUUCACGAAAGGAGACAUCAAGAGAUAUAUGUAGCUUAUGAGUUUGAGGGCAGUAACAUCUGUAUCCUUUCUGAAAAUUAGAGUAACUAACAAAUACACAAUAUUGUACAACCAAAGGUUUUAGGUUCGAAGUUUGGUUGAUGGGGUGUGUAAAAGAAGGUUUGUAAUUUUUAGUAUGGGGUCUGGAAAUCAAUCACCCAGGAAGGCACUAUAUUGAUAAUGUAGACAGUAGACUUAAUAGCCUCUCCAUAAUAGAAGGGAGGCAUAUUCAUUCCAAAAAAAGAUGCACGUACCACCUCCAUGAUCUGCCUAUUUUUCCUCUUCGCAAAUCCAUUUUAUUGAGGUGUGCAGGUGCAAGAAGUAUGAUGUCUAAUUCCCUGUUUUCGAAGAUAAUCACCAAGCAAGUUCUCAAGAAAUUCCAUGGAAUUGUCAUAUUGCCAUACCUAAAUCUAUUUGUGAAAUUGAGUUUUCACCAUGUUGUAAAAUUCCUAAAAAGUAGUACUUGCAUCACUUAUCUUAUGUAAUAAGGAUACUCACGUCAUACGAGUGCAUUCAUCAAUAAAGGUAAUAAAAUAACGAGUUUUAGCCAUAAAUGGGAUGACUAUAAAUCCCCAAGUAUCAAAGUGAAUAACCAUAAGGGUUCAGAGCUUUUGUUGAAAGAGGGAAAAUAUGGUUUACUAUGGCUCUUUACCAAUUCACAAAUGUCACACUGAAAAUCCAAAAUAUGCAAUUCUGUAAACAAAUUAGGUUUUAAUUUCUUAAGGUAACUAAAGGAAAGAUGCCCUAGUCUCUUAUGCUAGAGCCACACCUUAAACAGCUUCCUAUCACCCAUCAUCACAAAACAUGCCUUAAUGUACUGCCAUAUGCUAGUUGUUGUCAAUUUCAAGUAGUAGACACCACAACCAAGAGUCUUUCGGGUCAAAAUAUCUAGAAAAACACAAUAAAAAGGCAAAAAAGUUAUAGUGCAAUUUAGUACUAAAGUGAUUUGGCUUACAGAUAACAAAUUCCAUUCAAGACUAGGAACAACCAAUACUAUAUCAAAAGUUAUGGCAGUAGUUAGAGCAAUGGAGCCCUUUCUUGUAAUAGGGGAGAUAUCAUCAUUGAUUGUAGAUAUGACUUGUUAGGAUGAUGAGCGAAGAUUUUGUAAUUUACUAGAGUCUCUAAUCAUAUAAUCGGAUGUACUAGUAUCAAUAAUCCAACUAUUAUCCAUAGUAAUAGCAGAAAGAACACUAGCCUUACCAACACUACCUGGCUGAGUUAAAUUAGGAGGAGGCAUUGAAGUCCCCUCCUGAAUUAGAAGGCUUUCACCUGAUUUAGCUAUUGCAGCUUUCCUAGUAAUGUUCUUUCAUGGUUUUUUUUGAAAAAUCCCACCAGGAUAUCUAAUAAGCUCAUAGCAAUGCAACGUUGAAUGGCUAGAUUCACCACAGUGGGUACAAACAUAGUUAUUUGGCUUUCAUUAACCUUGACUAUUUUUUUCUUUGGUAGAACUAGAACCUAUCCCUCGCUGGUUUCGGUUAACUAUCAUGACUGUAUUUUUAGAGACCGGUCGAGAAACUCCAAUAACUUGUCGAUGUUGUGAGUCUCUUCUCCCACAUGCGUAGGCUGCUUCCAGGUCCAGUUUUGGUUCCUUUCCAAGAAUAUCCCCACGGAUUUGAUCAUUUUCAGAAUCAAGACCGCUUAAAAAAAAUGUACUCACAAUCUCAUCAGCACCGCAUGAAGUUGUACAAUCCCUUCAAUAGAUUCUUAUUUGGAUGUGCUGCAAUAUCGAUUUCUGAAAGAUUGCAACAAGUUCAUUAUAAUAUAUGGGUAAAGGCCUACCAUUUUGAGUGGUUGAAAAGGACUUGUAAUUCAUUUCGACCAAUUGUGUUUCAUCAAAUCCAUUGUAGAAUCUCUGCAUCUAGUGGGGGCUCAUUGAUUCGAUGAGCCAGCUCUUUACUUUAUGAUUUUCGAUAAUCCAUGUAUCAUAGUUCGGAUCGUUAGGUGCAAGUUUCACUGUUGUCCCAAUUAGAUACCCAACCUUGUUGCGGGUCCCAAUAUGCAUCUCUAUCAACUGCAGCCAUAACAUAUAGUUACCAUAUACUGACGGGAAACUUGUUGAAUGAUAAUUGGGUUUGACAAAGGAUUGUGUGGAGUGGCUGGAACAAUUGGAUUUCAUUCUUGUUCUGCUAUUGUGAUUUUGUUUGUAGGAGGAAGUCCCUGGAAUACAAAGGUCAAGGGAGAAUGCAGGGAAGAAUAGUUAAAAAAAAAAAAAAAGUUUUUCAAGCCUGAGCUCUGAUAUCAUGUUGAUUACGACAUUCAACCGAAGCUUUUCAUUCUGUAAAUAUUUCUGCGCGCUACAAUGUAUUCAUCUUUUCAGGAAAUAUAUAUAUAAAGGAAGUAAAACGUCCUAGUAUGCCUAAACUCCUAUUCAGGGUAAGACUAUCUGUACAAGGAAACAACUACAAUCUUGGAAUCCAUACGUCUCGACAGCUAAUACACAAUCUUGCCAGCUACCACUAUCAAAAUGGUAGACCCGUGAUAUUUGCUGGAGAGAAACAAUGAGGCCCUUCUUGGCUCUCUCCAAUCUAUGCCCGAAGGUCGAUGUGCAUGUGAUGUGUCUUCCCACAUGAUGAUCCUGACAGAGCAAGGCCUAACACUUUUCCAGUGUCCUAAAUAGUUUGAUUAACGUGUCUUCCCAAUUUUUAUUUUUUUUAAAAAAAAACAAUAAUAAUAAUCAAAAUAUUAACUGAAAAGAGGACACAAAAUGCGUGUUGCUUGAGAUCUGGUGGUUAAAAGCGUGGCAGUCUAUUAUUUAUGAGAAACUGUUUUAAAUCAUAGAAAUUAUAACAACAUUUUCUGGCGUUAUCGUGCGAUAUCGAAAAGAUACGCGCGAAGAGAUCUACAAAGCUCGAGCGGAAGACUUGAUGACUUUGUAGAUUCAUUUAUACAGAUCCGUAUAAAUGAACGGUAUUGUUAAGAGCCGAUGUUAUUGUAAACACAACCUUUCACUAUCAAUAGAGAGGCGGAAGUCAGUCAAUACGGGUGUCUGCAACUAUGGAUUCGAUCAAGACUUUGGCCCCGAGCCGCCGUGUUUCCAAGUCCAAACACAGGAAACAAUAUAAGGUACGAACCAAAUCUAGUUAUAUUUCUAUGUUUUUCUUAUAAAGAUUAUUCUCAAUGCUUGUUUCUUGACUUGUUGUUGCUAUAUAUCAUGUCAUUAUCCCCAGAAAUUAAAAAUUAUUAUUUUUCUUAUACAUGUUAAGAAGAACAGAGAGAGGAGGGAAACUAUAGAACGAUUGAAAACAGAUAUGAUCGAGAUCGGUGAGGGACAACAACGCAUCAGAGAAGGGCAGCGAGAAAUAAGACAAAAGUUUGAAGAGAUAGGAUCUGAAUGCCGCAGCCUCAAAGAGGAGACGAUGAACAUUGCCAAGCAGAGUGAUUACAACCAAGUCAGGAUCAACCUAAUGCUUAGCAUCUUGAAAGCCCGUGAAGACAACAACUUUGCCCAUGCUGAUCACCUCACUGGGCUCCUCCGGUUGGUUAAAUUCCCUUCGCCAUUUCUUUUCUUAAUUCUUGGGAUAUUGGAUUCGAUAAUUAAUCUUGCUAAUGCUAGCUAUUACAAGGAGGGAAACAUAAGCUAACGAACUCAAAAUAAAAGAAUCAAAAUGCACUGUUGAUAAGUAAUCUUCUCUCAAUCAUUGUGUUUCCUAUUCGUUGUGUUGCCAGCGAGGAAAUGGAAAAGCAGGAACAAGGAAAGGCAGGCCUGGUUGGCUGACCAAUGAUCAUGGAAAACAAGGAGCAGUUUGCCUUUGCAGUGACUCCUGAUCGUCUUUUCUUAUUAAAAUGAAAUCAUCAGUCCUAAAUCGAGAUAUGUAUUGACAUUAGUCUUCCCUUGAUAUCCUUCUUCCUUUGAUGAAGUAUUCAUUUGAUUAAGGAUUUGCGUUCUGUGAUCCUAGUUGAAUGUUCUGAGUUAUAGUAUAUAUACUAGGUGAAUUGCCGGGCGAUGCCGCCGGUUGUUAUAUAAACGGUAUAAGCAUUCGGUUGAGUAUAACCUGAGGUAAUCGAAGAAGAAGAAGAUAGGCAGACAUAAUUAAACAAAAUGAAAAAAAAUACCAGAACUAUUGAGGUUAAACAAUGCAACCACAUGCUCUCUGUUAGAGAAACACAAAGUCUUAACUAGCCUGUUUAGCUUUGCAGUAUUCGGUUGUUUUUUUUAUUUGGAUUUUUAAAAUUUAUUUUUUAUAUUAAUAUAUUAAUUUAAAAAUAAAAAAAAAUUAUUACAAAAAUUAUUUUUUUAGAAAACAACAGUGUGGCAUCAAUAACAAACAGUCUCGAAAAGUCUCAAAUAUAAAGCCACGUGUGCAUAAUAAAUUGUAAUUAAUUUGGAAUUUAUUUUCUAAAUAUUACUAAUUUAAAUGUUAUAAAUCUCAAAGUAAUUUAUCUGAUUUUUAAUUUUAUAGUUUUGAAAAAUUAAUCAAAAUAUAAAUAAGUUGGUCUAGACAUUUAUGAUUAUAUAUAAAAAAAAACAAGAAGAAAAGAAAAAAUUAAAGAGCUCCAGACUUUUUGACCGUGCAUUCUCAUUUCACUUUGAAUUCCAGUGAAAUUAUUAUUUUCCUUUGGAAAAAAGAACUUGUUUAACUUUGUCUCAGGUGUAGAGAGGUGUUUUCAAUGGGAUUUAUUAGCUAUCAUUAUUUUUAAUAGGGAGAAGUUAGUUUGUUUGCGUUUUAAAUAAAGUGUAAUGAUUUAAACACUUUUAAAAGUAAAGAAAAAAAACUAGUAGAAAUAGUUUUAUGGUUUUAUAGUAAAAGAAUCAUACUAUCAUUAAAAAAAUAUAUUAUAAAACUUGCAUUUAAAAAUAUUUAGGUCUUUUCAUCUUUUCAACACGGUUAUUUUGUAAUUAUAUAUUUGGAUUAAAAACAAUUAAAUCUUUAAUCAUAUAUAAAAAAAAAAUUAAAUGGUUGAUGUGUGUCUCACAUGCGUUAAUAAGCGGAAAGUGCUUAUGCUCUUCGGGUUAUAUGUGUCUACCCUAUCAAUAGUUAAAAGUUUGUGUCAAUGACAAUGUUUGAAACGGUGGGUCAUCCUCUUUGUAGUGGUGGGAUGCUUGUUCAUGAAUGAAUUGCGGUUGAACUUCUUAUAAACAUUUUUUUUUCUCGCUCUCUCCUAGUUUAGAAAUUGACACCAACUCUUUUAAAAAUCUAUUAUCUAUUGUGUUCUUUAAUUUGUGUUUUUAUUAUUUUUUAUCCUUAUUUUAUUUAUUUUCAAUUGUUUUUACUUUUAAUGCAUUUUAAUCUUUAAUUGUUUUGCAAUUUCAUCCAUAUGAAUUUUAUUUUAUUUAAUUUUUAUAUCAAAUUUGAUUUUUUUUUUGUUUUUAUACUUUUCUAGAUUUAUUUUUCAAUUUUACCUCUCAUUAUUUUAUUUUUGUAUUCAAUUUUAAUCCUUAUUUUUUAUUGCUAUUUUUUGUUAUUUUCUUAAUUUUUUUCAUUUUUAAUUUUAGUCCCUCAUUGUUUGUUUGUUUGUUUCAUUUAGCUUUUAUGCUAGAUUUAGUCAUUGUUGUUUUGAUUGUUAUUUAUUUAGGCUUUUAAUUUUGGAUAAUUAAUGAUUUUGCUUAGUGAUUUUUUAUUGUUUUUUUUAUGAGGUAAUCUCGAUUUUAUGAACCAGGUCAUCAUUUUCGAGGAUUAAUCUGAUUUAACUUUUAUCUUUUCAUUUCUUAAAAAAAAAAAACCAAAAUGAUUAUUUUUUAAUUUCAUCAUUUUAUUUUAGGUUAUCAGGUCUAGAGUGUUUUUUUUUUUUUGCUUUCCUUUAUGUGGUGUUAUUCCGGUGUUAUAUCUUAGGUUAAGUUUUUUUCGAGUUAACCCAGGUUCAUUCAAGUUUUUUUUUUUUUGAAUCUUUUUCAAUUUAGUUUUUCCGAAUUUAAUCUCUUAAUAUUAAGUCAUUGAGUCUUGAAUUUUUGUUUUUCAAUGAAUUUAACAUGUUCUCAAAUCUUGAAUCUCAAAAUUUUCUUUUUUCUAUUUUUUAUAUUUUUUGAAAUUAAUUUUUUUAUCUCAUUAUUUAAAGUUAUGUUAUUAGACAUUCAAUUUUGUAAUAUUUUUUAUUUUUUUAUUGUAAAUUAUCAUGGAUAGUUAGUUAGUCAAAUUAACUUAGGUUAACAAAGUUUUUUUUUAAUAUUUUUUAUUUCACUAUCAUCUCGAGGUCAUUGUUUUUAAAAAAUUAUUUUUUUUAAUCUUGAUCUGGGUCGCAUGGUAGUCCAACUAAUCUGAGUUAAGUUAAAGUUUUUCUCAAUGUUUUUAUAAAUAAUUUGUUUUUUAAUUUUACCAGGCUCACAACAGUGUAGCGUAAAACUAAAAGUUGUAUCAUAAGAAGGUUGAGGACAUUUGUAGGUCGGCUAAUGCUGGCCAUAAAUAGCCAUGUAUGUGAAGCUAUGCAGGUGUGCUAGUGGACACAAAAACACUUAUGCAGAAAAGUGUGCUGAAUGUUCUGGUAGUUCCAAAAAGAAUCACAUAAAUAGUUGUGAAAUUUAAUAUUUUAAAGUUGUUUUAUGGGAAACAUGAUAUUUCAAAAAUAUAUUUGUUAAAUGACUUCACAAUUUACGAUGACGAGAGAAAAAUAAAAUAAAUACUUUAAUUAUACAUCAAAUCUAUCAUCAAAAUAACUCGACGAUGUGAAUCUAAUAAAAUUAAAGAAGUUCACCAAGUAGAUCACACUCAUUGAAGCUCUAAUUAUAAUAUCACUAGUAGCAUUAUAAAGUUCUGGACAAAAUAAAUCAAAUAUAAACAAUAAAGAUAAUCAAUGAUAAUGAUAAUUGAAGUGGGUCAUAUAUAAUAGGCGGAAAACAUGGUGAAAUCUAGGGUUAAGAUUAAAAAAGAUGAUGGAAGGGAAGAUGAAGGUGAAGAUGGAGAACAAUAAUCAGAUUAGCGAGAAGAACAGGUAUCAAAAUUCUGGAUGGAGAAGUUCCAGUUUUCCAGACUGCAACAGUAGAAAUGAUAAGAACACCUGCUAAGAAGGCCAGUAAUCUGUCGUGAAUGAAGAAAUUCAUGGAUGGUAGCAGCGAGAUUUAGCAUGAAGCAUUUAACUUGUUUUCUCUAUUGUAAUUCAUGUCGCUAGAGGUAAUAGAAUUGCACUUGUCUUGCCAGCAUUUAUAGAGAUAUGAAUCUGUUGAAAGGGAAAUUAAAUCGUAGAGUCAACCUUGUUGCGGAUUCCAAAGGGAAACCAUGAUGGUUUAACAGUUAAGCUUUGGUCAUCAAUGCAAUUGGUUCAGGUUGGGGUUUGGAAGAGGUUCGGUGAACUGCGGCGGCCGGAGCCUAAUCUGAUUAGGAGUGGGUACCCUAGGUUGGUUCGGUGGAACAAAUUGAAACUGGAAGUUGAGAAUGUUUCGUUGGUUCUAGACUCGGAUAAAGAGAGUUUUAGCUCUGGAAAACUGGGAUUUCCUCAAGUUUUAUGGAGAAAAAGAAAGGUGGGCCGGCGACUGUUGGUUCUAGUUUGAAAGACGAUUUAAUGGCAUUUGCUCGAGGCGUCAACGCUGUGUGGAGUUGGCUGUUCAGAACAGUAUUUACCUCAUAGGGUUGCAAUGCAAUUCGGAACCGACGAAGAUCUUUCAGGGUUGUGUUGGUCAAUGCUCUAAUUAACAGACCUGAGAUUGCAGAGAGCUUAAAGCUUUUGUUGAGAGCUUGAGCAGAUGAUCACACGAAUAAAAACAGCAAGAUUAAGACAAAAAUUGUUAACCUAGCUAGCCUUCUUCGUGAGAACGAUUUGCUUGAUUUUAUUUUAUUUGAAUUCAUGGCUUCUCUUCUCCUGUUGGCUAUGCUACUAACAUGGCAGGAGGCAUUGCAGCAGGUCCUAGAUGGAUAACUCCCGCCAUUAACAACAGAUGCAGAACAAGGUUAAAAGGAUAAUAGAAAUAAAUAUAUUCAUAAAGUAACCAUGCACUAUGGCAUGAAGUUAUUAUCACAGUGUGCAGACAAAUGCCGUGUGCUGCUGUACCCAACGCAGAGCCUACUAGGCGUUAUCUGUUCUGCCCACCCAAUCCUGACUAGAUAAGCACUUGAGAGUUUUUUUUCUUAUUUUAUGAAGUUGAUUUGAAGUGUUGAUUUGAUAUAAAAAUUUUAAGGAGAGAUAUUUUCCUUCAAAUAUUAAGACCAAUUUGAAAUUUGUAGAUUAACUUACAAAUUUUUAAUAAUUUUUAUUAAAAAUUAUCUUUUAUUUAUUUAUAUAAUAGUUUAAAUAAAAGCAAUAGAAACUAGUAGAAUUCAGCAUUAAUUAAAUUGAUUUAGAUUUAGAUAACUUUAUAAAUAUCAAAUCCAAAUAAAUUAUAACUAAUUUAAAAUCAAUCAAAUAUUAAAAGAAUUUUUUAAUAUUAAAACAAUGAUAUAUUAAAUCAAUCUAAAACUUUACACUUUAAUUUGUAAAACCCGUAACUUGAACCAUGAACUCCACUUGAAAAAUUAAAAAAAAUUAAAUUAUUAUGAUCAUCAAGCACAAACAACAAUAAUAAUUCAGGAUUUUUACUGAAAGUAGAAUCCAUCAUACAUGUUGUUGAUUAUUGAGUUAUAAUCGGUCCGUACAUGAAAAGGAAUGAAUUUAGAGUUAUUAAACUCUGUCGACCGGUGGAUGGACUGAUCUGGGUUUGUUAAAAGACCAACCGGUGCAAUGAUCCGGCAAAACCCAGUCAACCUGUAAGAUUCCACAUCGGGGGGUGAGGGGUGUGUUGCUGGCCUUAUAAGUGGUACUGGUUGCCGACUUGUUAUACGCGUUUUGGGACGUCAGGCUUAGAAUUAGGCUCGCGUCACCAGGAACAAAACCGUGAGGGCGGUAAGGCCUAAAGCGGACAAUAUAUGACAAGUUGGGCCGGGCCGUUACACGACCCGUGACCCAGAUAAAACCCGAAUUUUUUUUUUUAAAAUGUGGUUUUUCUUCUACACUCCCUUUUUUAUUUUUAUUUUAGUUGGUUAUUAACACUUUUUAAAGUUCACUAUAUAAAUACUAGAAAUAUAUAUUUUUUUUUCAAUGUGGGAUUGAAACCCUUUAGAAUAUACUUUAUGUUUCCAAGAAAAAAGUUAUUUUUUUAAUGUAAGAUUUCAAGCCCUUUCAUAUAUAUACUUUAUGAUCAUAAGAAAAAAGUUGUGUUUUUUUAAAGUGAGAUAUAAAACCCUUUAGUACAUAUACUCUAUGUUCCUAAGAAAAAAGUUUUUUCAAUAUGUGAUUUGAAGCCUUUUCGUAUAUAUACUCUAUAUUCACAAGAAAAAUAUUAUGUUUUUUCAAUGCGGGAUAAUAAGUUUUUUGGUUUAAAUAUUUCAACUUAAAAGGAUGACAUAAUAUAUUUUCAAUGUGAGAUUUGAAACUCUUUAAUAUAUAUAUAUAUACACACCUAUGUUUCCAAAAAAAAAAUUAUUUUUUUAAUGUGGGAUUUGAAGUCUUUUCAUAUAUAUAUCAUAUCGUCACAAAAAAAAAUUAUAUGUUUUUUAAUGUAAGCUUUAAAAAUUUUAUUAUACUUUACAAUCUUCCAAAAAAAAAAAAGUUUUGGAUUAAUCCAAUUAACCUGUCUACCUUUGUAGCUGAUUUAAUAACUUUGGGAUGUAAGGAAUAUCUAAAAUAGUCUUAGAACAACUCACAUUUGUUUGCUAUCGAUUUGAAAAGUGAAAGUUGCUCUCUCGUAAUGUCUGCUUUUAAAAUCAAAAGAAUCUAACAUUAAAUGCGGGGUAUUGUUGCCGUUGCAUAUUUUUAUUUUCUGUUUUAUAAAACUAAAAACAGUUUUUUUCAUAAUUUUCAGGUUUUUUCAUUUUGUUUUAAUGACCCCAGUUAACGUGUUUGAGCGUAAUUGUGUUUGAUUUUGAAAAUUUUUUUUACUCAGAAAGUAUGUUAUUUUUAAAAAAAUUAUUUUUAAAAUCAACACAUCAAAAUGAUUUGAAAACAUUAAAAACAUAUUAAUUUAAAAAAAAAAUUAAAUUUUUAAAAAUACUUAUACAGUGCCAAACAUGUUAUCACCACCUUUAUUUUCCCAUAUUUAGAAGUUAUUUAAAAAACAGAAACCAAAGAUACAAAACGGCAACCAUGACCAUGCCAGGGCUAAACAAAAGCUCUACAAGACCAAUCCACGAGAGUUAAACUCCAUUUAAUCAAGAUUUGAAUGUGCUGGGCAAUGAAAGCCCACGAUUAUAUAAAAUAAUAAAAAAAAAAAAAUCAAAGAGUGGAAUGCUUGACUAUAACUGUAAAACCAAGCCUAGUCCAAUAAAUCCAUGUAAAAAUCCGAUAAUUCAGAACCUAGAUUAAUUUGCUCAAUGAUCAUGAUUUAUGACCUAAUCAAUUUAAUUACAUUAAAGCUGAACAUGAUUUAGUCAAGAUUUAUCCUAGUUAAAAGAAAAAAAAAUUCCAUAAAAUCUUAACCUGAGAAUCGAGGUCAUUUUCUUCGAGCAAGCAACGAAUCUCAAACAAAAAAAAAAAAUACACUAGGUGAAAUCAUCAGCCCUCAACCUAGAUAUGUGUUGGAAUUCGUCUUCCCUUAAUAUCCUUCUUCCUUUGAUGAAGUUUUCAUUUGAUUAAGGAUUUGUGUUCUCUGUUCCAAGUUGAAUGUUUUGAGUGACAAUACAUACUAGGUGAAUUGCCAGGUGAUGCCGCCGGUUGUUAUAUAAACACGAUGUAAGCAUUCGGUUGAGUAUAACCGGCGGUACUCGAAGAAGAAGACACGCAGACAAAUUAAACAAAAUGAAAAAAAUAAUACCAGAAGUAUUGAGGUUAAACAAUGCAACCACGUGAUUUAUGUUAGAGAAACGUAAAGUGUUAACUAGCUUGUUUAGAUUUGCAGUAUUCGGUUGUUUUUUUUUAUUUUUAUUUAAUUUAUUUUUAAUAUUAAUUAUUAAUUUUAAAAUAAAAAAAUUAAUUAAAAAAUCAUUUUUUUUACUAAAAAAUAGUGUGGCUUCAAUAACAAACAGUUUGGAAAAGUCUCAAAUACAAAGCCACACGUGCAUAACAAAUCGUAAUUAACUUGAAGGUGUCAAGAUCUGAACUCUGAGCUUUGGGAGGUUAGUAGGAAUGUCGAGGGCAUUUGGAGGCAGAAAUCCCGCCAAAACUGGUGCAAAAUGGGGAUAAAAACACUCGGUUCUUCCAUCUUUCGACAAGCUUGAGGAAUGGUCGGAACCACAUUAGCAAGAUUGAGCAGAAUGGCAGAUUUUUUAGACUCUCCCAAAUGACAUCAAAGAGGGGUGCUGUCAACUUCUUCUCAAGUCUGUUUGCCAAGCCACAAUGAAGAGAAUUGAAAUGGGAGACUCAAGGUUUCUCUAAAUUUCAGAGAAAGUUCAGUUUGGUUAGAAAGACUACCUUCAUUGGAGGAAGUGAAGCAAGCCGUAUGGGAUUGUGAUGGUUCAAAAGCCCCGGUCCUGACGGGUUCACCUUCUCCUUCUAUAAAAAGGAAUGGAAUCUUAUCAGCCCUGACAUCUUUGUGAUGGUCACAGAAUUUUUCAGAACAGGUAAAUUACCAAAGGGGAUCGGCUCGUCCUUCGUGACUUUGAUCCAAAGACCAAGAGGCCGAGCACUUUCUCCCAAUUUCGACCAAUUAGUUUGAUUCAUGGGUUAUAUAAAAUAGUGGCAAAGCUCUUGUCCACUAGGCUCCGAAGCAUUCUACCAGAUGUGAUAAGUGUAAACCAGUCUGCUUUCAUUGCGGGCGUCAGAUUCUAGAUGGGUUCAUGAUAGCAAACGAGGUUGUCCAUAGUAUUCGUAGCAAAAGGACCACGGGUUUUUGCUAAAGGUAGAUUUUCAUAAAGCCUUCGACUCGAUUUUAUGGGAGCAUAUCGAUUCUACCAUGGGUUAUAUGGGUUUUGGAUCUCACUGGAGGAAACUGAUCUUUGAAUGCAUGUCCACUUCUAAAUUGGCCAUCCUGAUUAAUGGCUCACCAAGCAGAGAAUUCAGUAUGGAGAGGGGUCUCAGGCAAGGGGACCCCCUCUCUCCUUUCCUUUUUGACAUAGCAGUUCAGGGGUAACAGUUCUAUUCAACAGGGCAUCAGAUUCAGGUUACUUUAAAGGUUUGCAGACUUCGCAAGGACAUCACAUAACCCAUUUGCAAUAUGCAGAUGACACUCUUAUUUUCCUGCCAAUGAUUAUACCUCUCUACUGCAUGUCAAGAGGAUCCUCCGCUGGUUUGAGAUCAUUUCAGGACUGAAAGUUAAUUUCUAUAAAAGCUCACUUAUAGGAAUUAAUUUGGAUAACGAAUACACUUCAGGUCUGGCUAACACAAUUUUGUCGCAGUGACUCCUUUCCCAGUCAGAUACCUUGGGUUGCCUCUUGGUGCUAACCCAAAUAGGCUCUCCACUUGGAAACCGGUAUUGUCCACAAUCAGAGCAAAGUUAAGCAAAUGGAAAGGGAAGUUUUUGAGCAUGGCCGGAAGGAUAUGUCUUAUUAAAUCUGUCUUAAACUCUCUACCUCUAUACUAUAUGUCGGUCUUUACUAUGCCAAAGGGCAUUGCAAAAGCAAUAUCCUCAAUCACCGUUUUUUCUCUGGAAGGGCUCCUCAAAUUCACAUGGUAUUUGUAAGGUUGCUUGGCAUAAGGUAAUUAAGAGUAAGCCACUUGGAGGUCUCGGGCUUGGUUCUAUUCACAGUAAAAAUCUGGCUCUGAUGUUUAAAUGGCUUUGGAACCUUGACAAAGGAGUGGCAGGAGGUUGGCAAGAACUCAUCUUACGAAAGUACCGGCCACAUUUUACAAAUGGCCUUCCUGUGUUUGCAGGUUCUUUAUCUCCAACUUGGCGUGGCAUGGUAUCUGCAAUUUCCUUAAAUCACAGCAUAGCCGCUCCCAUCCAAUCCAAUGUUGGGUUUAAGGUGGGUGAUGGGAGAAACAUCAGGUUUUGGUCUGAUUCUUGGCUAGGCUAUGCAGCCCCUCUCCAGUUCAUGUUCCCUAGGCUCUACAACCUCUCCCUGCAGCAAUCUUUAAGCGUUGCAGAAGUUCAUAACCCAACAGAUAACUCAAUCAAUCUUUCUUGGAGAAGACCCCUUCGAUCCCGAGAACUCUGCAUGUGUGAAAGCUUGAUAGCAGAAGUGGAACGUGGCCUAGUCUUCUCUGAUGGUGAAGACAACAAGAUUUGGAAACACCAUAGCUCCAACAAUUACACAGUCUCCUCUGGGUGCCAUCUCUUUGACGGUUUAAAUGUUUCAGGACAUCUUCACUCCCCUGCUUUGCUUUGGAAAGGGUUUGCGCCUCCAAAAAUAGAUGUGUUCAUAUGGCUUCUUUUCAAUGGCAGUGUCUGCACAAAGGGUUUCUUAGCUGAGAGGAGAAUCAUCAAUUAUGAGGAAGCUCUUUGUCCUUUCUGCUGCAAGGAGAUUGAGACUAUACAUCAUCUCUUCCAUCUUUGUCCAAAAUCAUGGUCUCUUUGGGGCAGACUAUUUAGUUGGUUUGGGUGUGUAGGUUGUCUGCCAAAAGACCAUAUGAUAACCUUCAGGAAUGGUCCAACAUGGUAAAAAGGAAAAUUUCAGCGUCAGGCAAUUACCCUUCUCUGUAAAGGAUUAUACUGGUCAAUUUGGAUAGCGCGCAACCACAUGAUCUUUGACAACAAAACUCCAGACUGGGAUGUGAUUUUUGACCUCACCUUUCAUCAGUUAGCCUUUUGGUUGAAGUCCUUUGUUAAAAAUUUCAGCUAUAUAAGCUCUGAUCUUUAUAGGAAUCCUGAAUGUAUCAUGAACUGGACUAACUAGUCAGGUCUAUAGAUUCCUUGUUUUCUUAAUGUUUUUUUAAUUCCCCAUGUAAUCUUCCUUAGCAGCCCUCAUCUCUUUAAUGGGGACGUAUUAUUUAUAAUAUUCUCGAUUACUAUAUAUAUAAAAAAAACUUGAAGGUGUCACCCAAUUAAUUAGAUUUUUAGUUUGCUUUCGAGAUAUUAGUAGUUCGAGUUCUGUAAAUCUUAAAAUUACUAGAGGUUUAUUUGGUUGUUACCUUCAGAGCCUGAACCUCUAGAAAUUAGUCGAGUUACACGUAAACUGACUUUUAUUUUUAAUUUAGUCUCUCAUUGUUUUUUUCAUUUAACUUUUAUGCUAGAUUUAGUCAUUGUUGUUUCGAUUGCUAUUUAUUUUAUUUUUAAAUUUUGGAUGAUUAAGGAUUAUGCUUAGUGAUUUUUUAUUAUUUGCCUUUAAUGAUAUAAUCUCGAUCUAAUGAACCGGGUUACUAUUUCGAGGAUUAAUUCGAUUUCACUUUGGUUUUUUAUUUAUUUUUUUAAACAAAAUAAUUACUUUUUAAUUUCAUCAUUUGAUUUUAGGUUAUUAGGUCUAAAUUUUUUUUUUCUCCUUUAUGUGGUGUUAUUCUGGUGUUAUAUCUUAGGUUGAGUGUUUUUCGAGAUAACUCAGGUUUUUUUUAAUUUAGUUUAUUUAGUUUAUUUUAUUUAAUUUUUUAAUAUUAAAUUAUUGAACCUUAAAAUUUAUAUUUUGUUUUGUAUUUUUUUUAUAAGUUUAACAUGAUCUUAAUGUCGUUGUUUAUUUUUUAAAUUAAUUUUUUUAAUCUGGAACUCCCAUCAUGGGUCGCAUGGUAGUCCAACUAAUCUGAGUUAAGUUAAAGUUUUUUCAAAUUUUUUUUUUUUACCAGUCGCACUGUGUAGCGUAAAACUAAAAGUUGUAUCAGAAGAAAUGUGUAGGACAUGUGUAGGUCGGCUAAUGCUGGCCAUAAAUAGCCAUGUCUGUGAAGCUAUGCAGGUGUGCUAGUGGAGACAGAAACACUUAUGCAGAAAAGUGUGACGUAUGUUCCGGUAGUUCCAAAAAGAAUCAGAUAAAUAGUUGAGAAAUUUAAUAUUUUAAAGUUGUUUUAUGGGAAACAUGAUAUUUCAAAAAUAUAUUUGUUAAAUGACUUCACAAUUUACGAUGACGAGAGAAAAAUAAAAUAAAUACUUUAAUUAUACAACAAAUCUAUCAUAAAAAAAACUCGACCAUGUGAAUCAAAUAAAAUUAAAGAAGUUCACCAAGUAGAUCACACUCAUUGAAGCUCUAAUUAUAAUAUCACUAGCAGCAUUAUAAAGUUCUGGACAAAAUAAAUCAAAUAUAAACAAUAAAGAUAAUCAAUGAUAAUGAUAAUUGAAAUGGGUCAUAUAUAAUAGGCGGAAAACAUGGUGAAAUCUAGGGUUAAGAUUAAAAAAGAUGAUGGAAGGGAAGAUGAAGGUGAAGAUGAAGAACAAUAAUCAGAUUAGCGAGAAGAACAGGUAUCAAAAUUCUGGAUGGAGAAGUUCCAGUUUUCCAGACUGCAACAGUAGAAAUGAUAAGAACACCUGCUAAGAAGGCCAGUAAUCUGUCGUGAAUGAAGAAAUUCAUGGAUGGUAGCAGCGAGAUUUAGCAUGAAGCAUUUAACUUGUUUUCUCUAUUGUAAUUCAUGUCGCUAGAGGUAAUAGAAUUGCACUUGUCUUGCCAGCAUUUAUAGAGAUAUGAAUCUGUUGAAAGGGAAAUUAAAUCGUAGAGUCAACCUUGUUGCGGAUUCCAAAGGGAAACCAUGAUGGUUUAACAGUUAAGCUUUGGUCAUCAAUGCAAUUGGUUCAGGUUGGGGUUUGGAAGAGGUUCGGUGAACUGCGGCGGCCGGAGCCUAAUCUGAUUAGGAGUGGGUACCCUAGGUUGGUUCGGUGGAACAAAUUGAAACUGGAAGUUGAGAAUGUUUCGUUGGUUCUAGACUCGGAUAAAGAGAGUUUUAGCUCUGGAAAACUGGGAUUUCCUCAAGUUUUAUGGAGAAAAAGAAAGGUGGGCCGGCGACUGUUGGUUCUAGUUUGAAAGACGAUUUAAUGGCAUUUGCUCGAGGCGUCAACGCUGUGUGGAGUUGGCUGUUCAGAACAGUAUUUACCUCAUAGGGUUGCAAUGCAAUUCGGAACCGACGAAGAUCUUUCAGGGUUGUGUUGGUCAAUGCUCUAAUUAACAGACCUACGAUUGCAUAGAGCUUAAAGCUUUUCUUGAGCAGAUGGUCACACGAAUAAAAACAGCAAGAUUAAGACAAAAAUUGUUCACCUAGCUAGCCUUCUUCGUGAGAACGAUUUGCUUGAUUUUAUUUUAUUUGAAUUCAUGGCUUCUCUUCUCCUGUUGGCAUUGCAGCAGGUUCCUAUAUGGAUAACUCCCGCCAUUGACAACAGAUGCAGAACAAGGUUAAAAGGAUAAAAGAAAUAAAUAUAUUCAUAUAGUAACCAUGCA